UCGUUGUUGUUGUCGUUGUUGUUGUUGUUGUCGUUGUUGUUGUCGUCGUUGUUGUUGUUGUUGUUGUCGUUGUUGUUGUUGUUGUCGUUGUUGUUGUUGUUGUUGUUGUUGUUGUUGUUGUUGUUGUCGUUGUCGUUGUCGUUGUCGUUGUCGUUGUUGUUGUUGUUGUUGUUGUUGUUGUUGUUGUUGGUGUUGCUGUUGNNNNNNNNNNNNNNNNNNNNNNNNNNNNNNNNNNNNNNNNNNNNNNNNNNNNNNNNNNNNNNNNNNNNNNNNNNNNNNNNNNNNNNNNNNNNNNNNNNNNAUUUAAAGAAAAAAUUAAAAGAUGGCAUGAUAAAAGGAUGCGAAAGUAGGAAUUCGAAGUUGGAGAAUAUGUUCAUUUGUACAAGUCUCUUUUAGAUUCUUUGCAGGAAAACUUCUCCCUAAAUGGGAAGAUGUGACGACCCGAGACUGACCCUCGAGACGCCUUCCAUAUUUUCGUUGUUGCCGCUUUAAUUAUUUUGCUUGUUGCAUUUCAUCAUGGCAUCAUGUGCAUUGCAUAUGCAUGUUUUCAUAAAACUUGUAGUUGUUGCUUAUUUCUUUGUCUCCGUUGAUCUUCUCUCGGACCAACCGGACCGCUCUCUUCUCUCUUGUUCUAUGAGCCCAACAAAACCCCCCUCACGUGCGCGUCUGAAAACUGUCCCAAGCCCGAACCGGGCUAUCGUUACCGAUGAGUCCGGAUCAUCUCCAAACAUCCCUAAAACAUCUUCCAUUUAUUUAUAAGAUUCCCUGGCAUAUUUAUUCUCGACCGUCCGAUCUAAUCGGAGGGUCCAAACUUAACCCUCUUUCCCUAUAUAUAUGGUCCACCUAUAUACCAAACUAGUCCAACCCUAACCUAACCCUAAUCCCCCUUGCGCCGCCACCCUCUCCCCCCUGUUCCUUGGGAUCCCUCCCAAUCCACCAAUUUGCCCUACCGGCCACCACUCCCUCCUUCGUUUGCAGCACCUGUACCAACUUUGAAAUAUGCAUAUGGGGAUUUUCUAGAAUUGUUGUUUGUCGUUUCCAGCCUCAUUUAACCUUGACUAAAUAGUUAGAUUAAUUAUGCUUCAUCUCUUGCCAUGUUAAUCAACAUUUAAUAUUGAUGGGUAGCAUAAACGAGAGUGUACUAAAUAUUUAAAUGUGGUGUUUUGUCAAUAUGCAACUGGGUUCAUAUUGAGGACCACUUAAUUUGUAGUGUUGUUUGUUGCACUUUGCCAUGCCAUGACUCAUUAAACCGGGCAUGCAACAUACCUGGUUGUGCAUCAUGCCAUGUUUAUGCUUGUUGAUUUACCAUGUUGUUUGCUUCUUUCCGGUUAUGAUUCUUCGUGAUAGUUCCGUUUAAGUUGCGAUUGUGAGGAUCCAUUCGACUACGUUGGUUCGUCUACUUCAACGAUUCGGUCUUCUUCCUAGCAGGAUUUCAGGCAAGAUGACCAUUACCUUGGAUACCACUACUAUCUUUGCUUGCUAGUUAUCUCGAUGCUAUCGCCAUGUCGCGCUACCUAUCACUUGUUUAUCAAGCCUCCCAAAUUGCCAUGAACAACCUCUAACCUUUUCCACAAUCCCAACAAACCGUUGUUUGGCUAUGUUACCACUUUGCUCAGCCCCUCUUAUAGCGUUGCUAGUUGCAGGUGCAGCUCAGGUUAUUUCAUGUUGGGACAUGGAUAUCAAAAUAUGUCUUAUUUAAUUAAUGCAUCUACAUACUUGGUAAAGGGUGGAAGGCUCGGCCUUUUGCUUGGUGUUUUGUUCCACUGUUGCCAACCUAGUUUCCGUCAUAUCAGUGUUAUGUUCCACGAUUGAGCGCCCCUAACAUGUGUGGGGUUUUAUGGGGACCCCUCUGAUCAUUCGUUUAGGUUUAACUCUUCCAGCAAGGCACAACAUUGGUUUUACCAUUUACCUAAUAACAACUAAAGGUUGCAUAGGGACUUUCCGGGCCCUGUGGAUUUUCAAUCAACAAACUGGUCCAAUGCUCCUCAUGAGUGUUGGUCCACCUACCUAGUAGUCGGCGGUGUCGCCUCAAGGCAACUCGAUGGUAUUUAGGCUAUCGUACACUUUGCAUAGAUGGUUGUGUCCUGACCAGGAUUCCUUAUCGUAAUCAUGGUGUUCUUCAUGGUGUGAGGAUGUUCCAUCGGAUGCGUGUGGUAGCUUGUGAUGGAUUAAUUUGGAGUACCCCUGCAAGGUUAAAUCUUUUGGAAGUCGUGCCCGUGGUUAUGUGGCAGAUUGGAAAUUUAUAAUAUCCAUUUGUAGAGAACUUGUCACCAGAUCUGAAUUAAAAUAGACCAACCGUGUGCGUAACCGUGACCGUCUCUUUUUCAGUGAGGUUCGAGAAGAGAACAUGGUGGGGUUAUGUUUGACUCGUAAGUAGUUCAGGAUCACUUCUUGAUCAUUACUAGUUUGCGACCAUUAUGUGUAGUUUCUCUUCUUACUCUUGUACUCGUAAGUUAGCCUCUAUACAAUGCUUAGUGCUUGCUGCAAACCUCACCACUUAUCCAUUCCAUGCCCAUUAAGCUUUGCUAGUCUUGAUACCCAUGGUAAUGGGAUUGUGAGUCCUCGUGGCUCACACAUUACUACAACAACAGGUGCAGGUACAGGUAAAGUGAUGCUUUGACGUGAGACCGAUGCUUGCUUGUUUUGGAGUUCUUCUGCUUCUUCUUCGAUCAAGGGAUAGGUUCCGGGUUGGGAGCCUAGGAUUAGCAGGGUGGAUGUCGUUCUUCUUCUUCAUUUGAUUUCAUCCGUAGUAGGAUCCUGCUCUUCUAUAUGAUGAUUGCUAUGUAUUGAUGUAUUCAUGUAUUCAUGUUGUAGCCUGUGGCGAGUGUAAGCCUUUAUCUUGUAUUCUCAUCUAUUAAAUACAUGGUAUGUUGUAUUGAUAUCCACCUUGCUAUGUGCUCAAAAUGCGGUUGUGCCCCAAUCAUGAGUUCAUCACGUGAUUGGGAUAGAAUCGCAUCUUGGGCGCUACAAGUUGGUAUCAAAGCCCUACUGACCGCAGGAGCCACCUUGAUUGAUCAAGUCGUUGUCGCUGUUGAGUCUAGAAAAAACUAUUUUGAGUCUAGUUAUAUCGAAGAGUAGGAAUUCUUUUUAUACUCCUCAUCCCCUUCGUCGCUUAGGUGAGGAAUCAUGACGUAGGUGUUUUUGUUUCCAUUACUCUCCUUUUUCACUCAUUUUUUAGGAUCAUGCGGGUAUUGUGGAAUUGGUCUGAUAUCAUUGUCACGGGAACUCUAUUCUUGGUGCCUCUUGUUAUUUAGGGGUUGUGGCAGUGUCCCGGGGAGUUGAGCUCCAAGGUGUUUUCGUCGCAGUGCUUAUCNNNNNNNNNNNNNNNNNNNNNNNNNNNNNNNNNNNNNNNNNNNNNNNNNNNNNNNNNNNNNNNNNNNNNNNNNNNNNNNNNNNNNNNNNNNNNNNNNNNNNNNNNNNNNNNNNNNNNNNNNNNNNNNNNNNNNNNNNNNNNNNNNNNNNNNNNNNNNNNNNNNNNNNNNNNNNNNNNNNNNNNNNNNNNNNNNNNNNNNNNNNNNNNNNNNNNNNNNNNNNNNNNNNNNNNNNNNNNNNNNNNNNNNNNNNNNNNNNNNNNNNNNNNNNNNNNNNNNNNNNNNNNNNNNNNNNNNNNNNNNNNNNNNNNNNNNNNNNNNNNNNNNNNNNNNNNNNNNNNNNNNNNNNNNNNNNNNNNNNNNNNNNNNNNNNNNNNNNNNNNNNNNNNNNNNNNNNNNNNNNNNNNNNNNNNNNNNNNNNNNNNNNNNNNNNNNNNNNNNNNNNNNNNNNNNNNNNNNNNNNNNNNNNNNNNNNNNNNNNNNNNNNNNNNNNNNNNNNNNNNNNNNNNNNNNNNNNNNNNNNNNNNNNNNNNNNNNNNNNNNNNNNNNNNNNNNNNNNNNNNNNNNNNNNNNNNNNNNNNNNNNNNNNNNNNNNNNNNNNNNNNNNNNNNNNNNNNNNNNNNNNNNNNNNNNNNNNNNNNNNNNNNNNNNNNNNNNNNNNNNNNNNNNNNNNNNNNNNNNNNNNNNNNNNNNNNNNNNNNNNNNNNNNNNNNNNNNNNNNNNNNNNNNNNNNNNNNNNNNNNNNNNNNNNNNNNNNNNNNNNNNNNNNNNNNNNNNNNNNNNNNNNNNNNNNNNNNNNNNNNNNNNNNNNNNNNNNNNNNNNNNNNNNNNNNNNNNNNNNNNNNNNNNNNNNNNNNNNNNNNNNNNNNNNNNNNNNNNNNNNNNNNNNNNNNNNNNNNNNNNNNNNNNNNNNNNNNNNNNNNNNNNNNNNNNNNNNNNNNNNNNNNNNNNNNNNNNNNNNNNNNCAGUGAUCUUCUCCAUGGCCUCUUCAAAAUUGUUCAGCACAUCUUGUACCUGUUCAGUCAUCAUUUGCUGAAACUUAUCAUGAAGCUCCUUGUUCGAUAAGUUCUCCCAGUCAAUCUCGUCGGCUUGUGAUCCUGGCAUGGUUAGCAGCAAUAGAAACACACAAGAAUAUGAUCCUACAGACUACUAAGAAGUGGUGGUGGUGUAUCACAAAUCCGUCAAGCAAAUCUCAAAUUCUUACCAGUUCUUACCCAGCAGCAGGCGGUGAUCGGCAACCGUUGUAGUCAAAAACUCUCAAAGCGUGGAUAGAGCGAUUACCAGGGAGAGUCGAACACACGACGUAGAUGUAUGUGGAGCUGGGAAGGCUUAUAGUAUGGUAGCAAAAAGGGUCAGCAAUAAUCAAUUCAGAGAUGCAAAGUUGAAUAAACGCUCAACGACGGUACUGUGCUGGUCCUAGGCUAGACUGUGCUAGAGACGCGAGCCUAGAACACCAACAAAAUCACGGUGCGGCACGUAAACAAGGGAAAAGCACACUCUGAAUUAUUUUUUUUUCGCUUUUUUUUUGCGCUCUUUUUUUUUGCGCUUUUUUUUUGCGAAAAAUCACUAUAAUGGCGAGUGUCUCAAAACUCUUCCUAGCUCAAACUGACAGGAUGGGCACGAAAUUUUUCGACCAAUUUUUUUUUUUCGACUGCCCGGACCCAAAAACUGGAAACGGGUCAAAAAAAACUUCCUAUAAUGGCACCUGUCUCAAAACACUCAGAAACACCUAAAAAUAGGAUAGCCAGAAAAUUUUUCGAAAAAUGCGUUUUCGAAAAAUUUUGGGCCUAAACGGAGCGUGGCUACCCGACUCCGGCAAGGAAACACGUACGCGUUUUCGAAAAUGCGUUUUCGAUUUUUUUUUUCCAAAACCUACUCCGGCAAGGAAACACGAAUCGGAAUCUAGAUGGAUCUCGAAAACAAACCUAAUAAGCAAGGAACUCGGAUUGGUGGUGGAUAUAUGGUGGUGGUAUAUGGCAGCGGUGGUGGUAGCGGUGGUAGUAUAUGGAUAUGGAUCGGUGGUGGUAUAUGGACACGGAUUCGGAGCGGUGGCGGAUAAGCGGUGGUGGUAGAUGGCAGGGGCGAUGAUGAUGGUGCGGCGGCGGCGUGACAACUUAUGACCAGAACUCGAAACUCUAAAAGACUAGACGCUAAGACCAGCAACUAGACCGACGAUGCAACCGCAAAUUCAACAAAGCAAAACCCUAAAAAGAUUAUGCAAAGGCUCAGAUUGGUUCGGAUAUGAUGAACUAACCCUAAUUUUUUUGUGUGGCUUUUUCGUGGACUGUAGGUAUGAAGAACAGACUCGAUCUAAACUACGAAAAACUGUAAAAUCUCACCGAGCAACCUGGAAAUCUGAUACCACUUGAUAGAGGCAAAGGUGUCCCGUCUUUCGAUGAGAAGGUGGAUUUCGCUUUGGUGGAAGUCGACUUUGACGAUCCGACUACGAACGUGCGAGGACGUCGCGCCUUAGCAAUCACUAAACCAACUCCGAGAGGUUAUUGACCACGCCGGGGCACGAUCAACCUGACCACGAGGGUCUGUUUCCUGCGAGCAAACGAAGAACAAGCAAGAAACUAAGAUUGCAAUCUGGAUAUUGCGAAUAUAAGAUGAAAGCUUUAUUGAUCAAGGUGGGGUUCUGUGACGCCUUUGUCUGGUCGUUGAACACAAACGAAGUACGCGAAGUUGCAGCUAUGGCGAACUUUUAAUCUAAACAAAACCCAAAGUCUAAACGAUGCCCUAAGGGCUGUAUAUAUGGAGGAAGAGGGGGGAAUUUCGUGGCCCUUGGUGGAGGGGUCCGAAAUCAACCCUAUCUCUUGUUUCCCCACACAUACGGGCUCUAAAAAUAGCCUAUACUUAUGUAUUUCGAAAUUACAUGGGCCUGGCCCAAUAAUAAGGUGACGCAGCACCUAAAAUAGCCUCUGGACGAAAUUUAUGAAGUGGCAUCUUGUAUAUUUCGUCCAAGGCUUCAUGCACCCAUUAUGGUGGCUUCAAAGUCCUGAAAUCAUCACUUGUAACUCCGUUCUUGUUCCCCUUGCGCAUGCCAUCAUCUCCAUGCUUGUUCUUGCUCCAAUGUUCAUCCUUCUCCAAGCUAGGCCCUUCAUUUGUAAGCAAAACAAAUGUAUCCAAUUUAGGCAGCAUCAUAUUCUCAUGAACAUUAGAAUCAUUACCAAGAAACGAAAGUACCUGGUAAUUUAGUUGGCGUGCACGAGCUCUAGUAAUUGGUCCAGUAUGUAUAGCAGCAGGGGCUGUGGGUGUAACAAUUGUAUUGAUGUCCUCAUCACUCAGCCCCUCGUGAGGCCAAUCCACCACAAAGUAGGAGUAGAGUUUUACACCGCAAGGUGGCCCGAACCUGGGUAGACUGUUGUGUUCAUCUUCUCCCUUGUUCAUCGAGCUAGGCCGUGCGGUGAUGAGCUGGUUGGCCGGAUUGGUUGGGUUCUUCGCACACACCCCAGAGUUCGAACCUUUCUUGGGUCCGUGGACCCUGAAUCCAACAACAUCACGCGGGAGAUAGAACUGCUCAUAAGGUAUUACAAUCUGGUUUUUACUGGCCUACUCUCUUCAAGGAUUCCCGUAAGUUUGUUUUAUCUUGUGUUGAAUGUCAAAGAAUUGGUAAUAUCGGUAAGCGUCAAGAAAUGCCUAUGAAUAACUCACUUCAUGUUGAACCAUUUGAUGUUUGAGGUUUUGAUUAUAUGGGUCAUUUUCCUUCCUCUAAUGGGUAUACACAAAUUUUGGUUGUUGUUGUUUAUGUUACUAAGUGGGUAGAAGAUAUUCCAACUAGUAGUGCUGAUCACAACACUUCCAUUAAAAUUCUUAAAGAAGUUAUUUUUCCAGGGUUUGGAGUCCCUAGAUAUUUAAUGACUGAUGGUGGUUCGCACUUUAUUCAGGAUGCUUUCUGUAAAAUGCUUGCUAAAUAUGAAGUUAACCAUAGAAUUGCAUCACCCUAUCAUCAUCAAUCUAGUGGUCAAGUUGAACUUAGCACUAGAGAAAUAAAACUAAUAUUACAAAAAACUGUUAAUAGGUCCCAAAAGAAUUUGUCUAAGAAAUUAGAUGAUGCACUUUGGGCCUUCAGAACAGCUUAUAAAAUCCCUAUGGGUAUGUCUCCUUGUAAAAUGGUUUAUGGAAAAGCUUGUCAUUUGCCUCUUGAGUUAGAACAUUAAGCAUAUUGGGUAAUUAAAGAACUCACCUAUGAUUUCAAACAUGUCGGUGAAAAGAGAUUAUUUGAUAUUAGCUCACUAGAUGAGUGGAGAACCCAAGCUUAUGAAAAUGCCAAACUAUUUAAAGAAAAAAUUAAAAGAUGGCAUGAUAAAAGGAUGCGAAAGUAGGAAUUCGAAGUUGGAGAAUAUGUUCAUUUGUACAAGUCUCUUUUAGAUUCUUUGCAGGAAAACUUCUCCCUAAAUGGGAAGAUGUGACGACCCGAGACUGACCCUCGAGACGCCUUCCAUAUUUUCGUUGUUGCCGCUUUAAUUAUUUUGCUUGUUGCAUUUCAUCAUGGCAUCAUGUGCAUUGCAUAUGCAUGUUUUCAUAAAACUUGUAGUUGUUGCUUAUUUCUUUGUCUCCGUUGAUCUUCUCUCGGACCAACCGGACCGCUCUCUUCUCUCUUGUUCUAUGAGCCCAACAAAACCCCCCUCACGUGCGCGUCUGAAAACUGUCCCAAGCCCGAACCGGGCUAUCGUUACCGAUGAGUCCGGAUCAUCUCCAAACAUCCCUAAAACAUCUUCCAUUUAUUUAUAAGAUUCCCUGGCAUAUUUAUUCUCGACCGUCCGAUCUAAUCGGAGGGUCCAAACUUAACCCUCUUUCCCUAUAUAUAUGGUCCACCUAUAUACCAAACUAGUCCAACCCUAACCUAACCCUAAUCCCCCUUGCGCCGCCACCCUCUCCCCCCUGUUCCUUGGGAUCCCUCCCAAUCCACCAAUUUGCCCUACCGGCCACCACUCCCUCCUUCGUUUGCAGCACCUGUACCAACUUUGAAAUAUGCAUAUGGGGAUUUUCUAGAAUUGUUGUUUGUCGUUUCCAGCCUCAUUUAACCUUGACUAAAUAGUUAGAUUAAUUAUGCUUCAUCUCUUGCCAUGUUAAUCAACAUUUAAUAUUGAUGGGUAGCAUAAACGAGAGUGUACUAAAUAUUUAAAUGUGGUGUUUUGUCAAUAUGCAACUGGGUUCAUAUUGAGGACCACUUAAUUUGUAGUGUUGUUUGUUGCACUUUGCCAUGCCAUGACUCAUUAAACCGGGCAUGCAACAUACCUGGUUGUGCAUCAUGCCAUGUUUAUGCUUGUUGAUUUACCAUGUUGUUUGCUUCUUUCCGGUUAUGAUUCUUCGUGAUAGUUCCGUUUAAGUUGCGAUUGUGAGGAUCCAUUCGACUACGUUGGUUCGUCUACUUCAACGAUUCGGUCUUCUUCCUAGCAGGAUUUCAGGCAAGAUGACCAUUACCUUGGAUACCACUACUAUCUUUGCUUGCUAGUUAUCUCGAUGCUAUCGCCAUGUCGCGCUACCUAUCACUUGUUUAUCAAGCCUCCCAAAUUGCCAUGAACAACCUCUAACCUUUUCCACAAUCCCAACAAACCGUUGUUUGGCUAUGUUACCACUUUGCUCAGCCCCUCUUAUAGCGUUGCUAGUUGCAGGUGCAGCUCAGGUUAUUUCAUGUUGGGACAUGGAUAUCAAAAUAUGUCUUAUUUAAUUAAUGCAUCUACAUACUUGGUAAAGGGUGGAAGGCUCGGCCUUUUGCUUGGUGUUUUGUUCCACUGUUGCCAACCUAGUUUCCGUCAUAUCAGUGUUAUGUUCCACGAUUGAGCGCCCCUAACAUGUGUGGGGUUUUAUGGGGACCCCUCUGAUCAUUCGUUUAGGUUUAACUCUUCCAGCAAGGCACAACAUUGGUUUUACCAUUUACCUAAUAACAACUAAAGGUUGCAUAGGGACUUUCCGGGCCCUGUGGAUUUUCAAUCAACAAACUGGUCCAAUGCUCCUCAUGAGUGUUGGUCCACCUACCUAGUAGUCGGCGGUGUCGCCUCAAGGCAACUCGAUGGUAUUNNNNNNNNNNNNNNNNNNNNNNNNNNNNNNNNNNNNNNNNNNNNNNNNNNNNNNNNNNNNNNNNNNNNNNNNNNNNNNNNNNNNNNNNNNNNNNNNNNNNNNNNNNNNNNNNNNNNNNNNNNNNNNNNNNNNNNNNNNNNNNNNNNNNNNNNNNNNNNNNNNNNNNNNNNNNNNNNNNNNNNNNNNNNNNNNNNNNNNNNNNNNNNNNNNNNNNNNNNNNNNNNNNNNNNNNNNNNNNNNNNNNNNNNNNNNNNNNNNNNNNNNNNNNNNNNNNNNNNNNNNNNNNNNNNNNNNNNNNNNNNNNNNNNNNNNNNNNNNNNNNNNNNNNNNNNNNNNNNNNNNNNNNNNNNNNNNNNNNNNNNNNNNNNNNNNNNNNNNNNNNNNNNNNNNNNNNNNNNNNNNNNNNNNNNNNNNNNNNNNNNNNNNNNNNNNNNNNNNNNNNNNNNNNNNNNNNNNNNNNNNNNNNNNNNNNNNNCUUGUUUUGGAGUUCUUCUGCUUCUUCUUCGAUCAAGGGAUAGGUUCCGGGUUGGGAGCCUAGGAUUAGCAGGGUGGAUGUCGUUCUUCUUCUUCAUUUGAUUUCAUCCGUAGUAGGAUCCUGCUCUUCUAUAUGAUGAUUGCUAUGUAUUGAUGUAUUCAUGUAUUCAUGUUGUAGCCUGUGGCGAGUGUAAGCCUUUAUCUUGUAUUCUCAUCUAUUAAAUACAUGGUAUGUUGUAUUGAUAUCCACCUUGCUAUGUGCUCAAAAUGCGGUUGUGCCCCAAUCAUGAGUUCAUCACGUGAUUGGGAUAGAAUCGCAUCUUGGGCGCUACAAGUUGGUAUCAAAGCCCUACUGACCGCAGGAGCCACCUUGAUUGAUCAAGUCGUUGUCGCUGUUGAGUCUAGAAAAAACUAUUUUGAGUCUAGUUAUAUCGAAGAGUAGGAAUUCUUUUUAUACUCCUCAUCCCCUUCGUCGCUUAGGUGAGGAAUCAUGACGUAGGUGUUUUUGUUUCCAUUACUCUCCUUUUUCACUCAUUUUUUAGGAUCAUGCGGGUAUUGUGGAAUUGGUCUGAUAUCAUUGUCACGGGAACUCUAUUCUUGGUGCCUCUUGUUAUUUAGGGGUUGUGGCAGUGUCCCGGGGAGUUGAGCUCCAAGGUGUUUUCGUCGCAGUGCUUAUCAUUUCAACUCUGAAAUACCAGAGGACGCCGACAUCGAAAACGCUUCUAUAGUCUUUGUGGUGAGAGUAGUUUGGUGCCACCCAGUACUGGGGAGAUCAAUCAGAUGUAUUGCGGCAGCUAGUAUAGCUGUUGUUUUUCGAAGGUCUGAGGUACCCCAUUUCCAAGGUUCUUGGUUAUGUGUUGAUGGAGGCAGUACAUUUGGAGCGUAGAAUUCUGCUAGGAGUUGUGUGAUGAUAUUUUGCUCCUUGUACUUGUUAUACCUGAUUGCAUAACCGAGAAUUUCAGGAGUUCAUAGGUGGCAAUUCAAGUAGUUACCUAGGGUUAUCCUUUCAACAAAUGCAUGAGGGGUUAUGUAUUUGUCUCUGGCUUAUUAUGCAAGCCAAAUCCUUGUUUGUUUUGAUUUGUGGUAUUCGAGUUGCUUAAAAGUCAAGUGUUGAUUCCAUACCUUUGAGUCUCUUCAUUUUUUUCCUCCAUGUUCUUACCCGGUGAUUCUCAUGAAGAUUCUCAAGAGCUACAAGUUCAUCAUUCUUAGUUCUCAUUCUCUUCUCCGGUGAACUAAAUUCAUGCUUUCGGUGUUCACCAUUUCACCUUCUUCAAUUCACAUGUUUCUCCGUGUUGGAAUUUCUUAUCCAAGGCUCUCUUAUUUAUUCACCUCUCCCUAUUUAUAUCCGGAGUGCAGAAGAUAUCUCAGAAGAUUCGUGUUUCCAUUCUUAAUCUGUUCAAGAUAUUGUUGAUAUCUCAUUCAACCCAUUUAAAUCAACUGGUGCAUUAUCUCUUUUUAAGCAUUUGUUCCAACGGUGUUUCUUUUGAGUGCCCUAACCCAUAGGUCUUUUCCCAGGAUCUUACCUCACUCUUCUAAUUUUUUCCACAGUGAUUCUCUAUCUCUUUCCAAGUUUGACAUAAGAAUGAAUUUUCAUCAAUCAGAUGCCUCCGCCAUAAUCGCUUCCAAAUUAUUUUCAUAUUUGGCUCUACCUUUAUUUAUUCAUUAUUCCGGAGUGUCUCAAUAAUUCUUAGUGGUGCUUCUCAUCGUCAUUCUCGGCUUUGAUGACCGGAGAAGAAUUUCUCUUAAAUCUUGUCCGUUCUCUUGAAGAUUCAGGCUUCUAGCUUCAUGCCAUCCUCUUAAUUCUUUCAAAUCAUGAGAAUUCUUUUCAUAUCCAUCUGAAGCAUUUCAGGAGUUUCUUUCCUUUCUCGAUCAUCCGAAAGCCAUCAUUUCAGAAGAUUUAUUCGCUCUCAACUUUCAGCUAUUAUUCCCCAAUUCUUCCGGUGCAUUAUUCAAGUACUCUCUAGUCAGUUCGUGAUCUCUUCGUUAUCUUGUAUUUAGAUUCCCUCAAGUAUCUUCGUUUGUUUGUAAUUCUUCCUGGCGAUUCAUUCUCUUUUCCUCCAUUAUUUUCAAUUCUUAUGAUGGUUCGUUCAAGAUUACUUUUCCUUUGUUACUGUAUCAUUUCAGUUGUUCUUUCCAAUCCUACAGGUGGUCCAUUCAGAUUGUGUUAUAUCUCUCUUAAUCCUUUCAACGAGAAUAAGUGGUAUGCCAAAAUCCGUUGCUUGUCAUCAAUUAAAAUUCAUGAAGGAUAUUCAUAACAUAAUACUUAUUCUUGUUUCAUCCAAGCGAUUGAUUCCUUCCUUUGGAGGUUUUUCAUGAGGAAUAAAUUCUCGGUUUCAAGUGGUUCAUCUUCUCUUUUUCCAGAAUUCCAAGUUGCAUCGGUUAUCUAAUCAUGAAGCUCCAUCUAAACCAUCUCAAGGUUUCAUCUUGCUAUUUUUUCAACCUUCACUUCCUUUCUACCAUUUAUUUUCUUACCGUAGUUCUUGAUGAAGUUUCUCAUGGUGGUUCAUCAAAGAUUUGUUCCAUUCUCGAAGUGUACAUCAAGAUUCUGUUGGAGCAUCUCAAGUAUUGUUCGUCCUGCAUUCCGAAGUGCAAUUCUUUCUACCUUAUCUUUGAGGUGUUGUUAUGUCAUCCGUGACAAUUUACUUCAUGUUUCAUGAUUCACAAGUUGUCAGAAAUGAUAUAUUUAAACCCAUCAUUUCUUCCUUGGAGUUAUUUUGGGUUAUAUUUCACCUAAAUGCCUUUCUGGAGGAUUGUUGCUAUUUGUGGUGAUUAUCCAUGAUCCAAGCUUGCUAUUAUCAUCUCCGUGGAAGAUGUUUGGCAUAUCUUUGAUGCUCUCAAGCAAUCAGUUGUUUCCAUUAGUGGAAAAAUUUCACUUCAAGUUUUGAGAUUUUUUCAUAAGGCCAUGGGAACCAUAUCAUUUGAUUAUUAAUUCUUCCAACAACUCCGUUUUAGCAUUCCUCGUAAGCUUGUUCUUUCAAGUUUCGUUAUGGUAAAGAUGUUGGUCCCUCUUCUCUCCUUUCUUUUCAUUCCAUUCUUUCAAUUGUUUCGGAGGCUUUGUGUUGUCAUUCUCUUCGAAGCACCAUAUCACCUUGUCAGGUUCAUGUUCAAUUCCUUCGCUUUUCAGACGGAGUCAUGUUCGAAUUCUUUCAUUCUUAUUCCUUGUAGAUCUCAUUUUAAUCGGAGUGGGUUAAAAGUAAAUCUUGUCCCUUAAGCUCUUGGUUCUCAUCAUAUUCCUUAUUCCUCUUGUCCAACAGACUGUUUACGGUCUCGUUCAUCUCCAUUGUAUUCUUUCUUUCAAGUUGUUCAACCUCUCAAGGUCCGUGGUUUCACUCGUUUGUCAAAGAAGCAGCUUUGUUUACCUCUUCCUCUUCUGUUUUCAUCCCUAGAUCUCGGGGCGAGAUCUCUUGUAAGUGGAGGAGAGUUGUGACGACCUAAGACCGAUGCUCCAGACGCCUUCCAUAUUUAUGUCGUAGCAGCUUUAAUUAUUUUGCUUGUUGCAUUUCAUCAUGGCAUCAUGUGCAUUGCAUACGCAUGUUUUCAUAAAACUCGUAGUCGUUCGUAGUUGCCACUUCUUUCUUUGUCUUCGUUGACCUUCUCUCAGACCAACCGGACCGCUCUCUUCUCUCUUGUUCUAUGAGCCCAACUAAACUCCCCUCGCGUGCGCGUCCAAAAACUGUCCCGUACCCGAACUGGGCUAUCGUUACCGAUGAGUCCGGAUCAUCUCCAAACAUCCCUUAAACAUCUUCGCUUUAUUUAUUAGACUCCCUAGCUAGCCUAUUUAUUCUCGACCGUCUGAUCUAAUCGGAGGGUCCAAACUUAACUCUCUUUCCCUGUAUAUAUGGGCCACCUAUAUACCAAAUUAGUCCAACCCAAACCUAAUCCUAUUCCCCCUUGCGCCGCCACCCUCUCUCCCCUGUUCCUCGAGAUCCCUCCCGAUCCACCAAUCUGCCCUACUAGCCACCACUCCCUCCUUCGUUUCCAGCACCAGCCCAACCGGCAGACUCCACCUUGUUCCCCAUCCAAGCGAUGAGCCCCACCUCUGCAGCACCGCCCGAACUCCUUCCGUGGCGCCCAAGCACCUCCUGGAGUCCCUGCCUCCUCGUCGACCCAAGCAGACGAGCUCCUCCCGAGGCCAGCCACCGCACCGCCAGGCCGCUUCCCCUACCCCGUUCCCUUAUUCUCCUUCCUUGUCUCUCUCCCUUCCCUGCCGGUCUCUCUCACCUCUCUCUAUAACAGCCAGCAGACCACCCGAUCUAGACGCCCACAGACCUCCUGCCAUCUUCAGCUUGCCACCCAGCCAAUCCUCGCCACCGCCGGAGUUCCAGGUUGCCGCUGCCUUGCCUUGUCUCCUGCUCCCUUGUACCCUCCAUCUCGUCCCCUUCCCUGACCUCUCACUCUCUCUCUCUCUCUCUUUGGACAGCAGGGCCACCAUGGACGCGAAGCCGCCGGCUUCCUCCUCGCCCUCUGAUAGAGGCAAAGGUGUCCCGUCUUUCGAUGAGAUGGUGGCUAUCGUUUUGGAGGAAGUCAACUUUGACGAUAUGACUACGAACAUGCGAAGACGUCGCACCUUAGCAAUCGCUAAACCAACUCUGACAGGUUAUUGACCAUGCCGGAGCAUGAUCAACCUGACCACGAAGGUCUGUUUCCUGGUGGUAAUCCCGGUGGCGCGUCUUCUGGGAAGAAGUCAGCGAACUCCUGCAAAAUGUUAGUGAUAGCAGGGGGCAAAGAGGAAGGCACGUCCUCGAAUGAAAAUAAUGCCUCUUUGCACACAAAAGCAUACCAAACCGAUUUGCUGAAAUCUAGCUCAUCAAUAUCAGAUUUGGUGGCAAGUAAACAUGCACUUUUCAAUUUAAUUUCAGAAGCAACACUAGAUGGUUUAUUAUUAGGCUUCAUUUGUUGCUCAAAUUCUUUUUCCACAAUCUGAUUUUCACUCUUAUUUUUCUCCUGCUUUGCUUUAUUAGCUCUAUUAAUAUCAUCUUUCAAAAUGGAAUCAGGAGUCAUAGGAAGCAAAGUAAUAUGGCUAUCCUUAUGAACAAGAGUAUACUGAUUAUUUCUACCAUGGUGUAUAGAAUUUUUAUCAAAUUGCUAUGGUCUACCAAGUAAUAAGGAACAUGCUUGCAUGGGUACCACAUCACAGUCAACAUAAUCAGCAUAUGUAGAGAUACUAAAAUGCACAAGAACACUAUGUGUUACCUUAACCUUGUCGCUGUUGUUGAACCAUUGGAUGUAGUAAGGAUGUGGAUGUGGUCUUGUGGUGAGAGAUAGCUUCUCCACCAUCUCCAUGCUAGCCAAGUUGUUGUAGCUCCCUCCAUCUAUGAUCACGCGAACAAAACAUUCCUUCACAACUCUCUUUGUACGGAACAAAUUAUGCCUCUGAUUUUGCUCAGCUUGUGUAACCUGCACACUCAAAACAUGUUGAGCAACUAAACAUUAUACCCGUUAGCAUCUUCAGCUGCCAUGUAUUGCGUCUCAUGAUCAGAAUCAUCUCCACCGUGUUCCUCAUGUGUAAUAAGAGCCAAAGUUUCCUCAUCAUAGUCACUAGCGGACUCAUACCCACCAUCCUCAGUAGCAAUCAUCACACGCUGAGAUUUGCAUUCUCUCGCAAAAUGUCCUCUUCCCUUAUAACGACGACAUAUAAUAUCACUUGUGUGCCCUGUUGAUGCCAUGGAAGAUGAAGAGCUCUGCGCAGGCCCGGCAGGUGUGCUCUUAGCAGAUAGUGGUGGUUGUGCCUGCUUUCCUGUAUCACAGCUGGAGGUGGCACCUGAUGGAGGUGCUGGUGCAGUGGAAGUAGAUGAUGCACGUGGUGUCCAUGAUGAAGAUCGACCUGCAGAAAAGUUAGUUCGUGCAAAUGCCUGUCGAUCCUGCACUUCACGUUCAGCUUUACAAGCAAGAUGGAAUAAACGAGUGAUAUUAUUAUACUCCUUAUACUCUAGAAUGGUAUGAAUAUCUCUACUUAAUCCACCCAUAAAAUGUGCAAGCAUAGCUUCAUUCUCCUCAACAAUACCACAUCUAAUCAUGCUAGUUUGUAAUUCCUGAUAAUAUUCUUCUAUAGAAUUUUUUCCUUGUCUUAAACGCCGCAAUUUUUGAAGUAAUUCACAUUGAUAAUAUGGUGGAACCAAACGAGUACGCAUAGCAGUUUUCAUAGCAACCCAAGUAGCUGGAAUAGUAUAUAAUCUACAAUAUUCAUACCACCAAACACAUGCAAAACUAGUGAAAGCAUAAACAGCAGCAGGAACACGUCUCUCCUCGGGAUAUUGUAAACAUGUAAAACGUUGUUCAGUUUCUAACUCCCAAGUAAGAUAUAUAUCAGGAACAUAUCUACCCUCAAAUGGUGGAAUAUUCAACUUUAGUUUAGGAAAAAGGUCAUGAUCUCGUACCUCAGGUGGUGGUGCAGCCCUACCGUUGCGAUGAUAUACCUGAGGACGACCUGGUGGUGGUGCUGCUUGUGGUUGCACGUAGUUCUGAUUUUGAUCAACCUCAUCCUCGUAAUGGUCCUCCACCUCUACAGUAGCAGCAGGAGCUACAGAAGCAUCAAUAGCGGCACCAGAAUUUUGCCCAGGGUCAAUGGGAACAUGCUGUGCUCGUCCCACUUAAUUUGGAAGGCGACGUUGUUGUUGUUGUUAUAGAGGUCCAUUAGGUGCAGCAGCCGGUGGUGGUGGUGGUGGAAGACGCACGAGCAAUUUAUUAAACUUGUCAUCGAGCUUUGUUUCAAACGUGUUCUCCAUGCCAUCUAUCUUCUCCAUGGCCUCUUCAAAUCUGUUUAGCACAUCUUGCACCUGUCCACUCAUCAUUUGCUGAAAUUUAUCAUGCAACUCCUUAUUCGUCAUGUUCUCCCAGUCAGUCUCGUCGGCUUGUGAUCCUGCCAUGGUUAGCAGCAAUAGAAACACACAAGAAUAUGAUCCUACAGACUACUAACAAGAGGUGGUGGUGGGUGUCACAAAUCUGUCAAGCAAAUCUCAAAUUCUUACCAGUUCUUACCCAGCAGCAGGCGGUGAUCGGCAACUGUCGUAGUCAAAACUCUCAAAGCUUGGAUAGAGCGAUUACCAGGGAGAGUCAAACGCACGACAUAGAUGCAUGUGGAGCUGGGAAGGCUUAUAAUAUGGUAGCCAAAAGGGUCGGCAAUAGUCAAUUCAGAGAUGCAAAGUUGAAUAAACGCUCAACGACGGUACUGUGCUGGUCCUAGGCUAGACCGUGCAAGAGACACGAGCCUAGCACACUAACAAAAUCACGGCGCUGCACGUAAACAAGGGAGGAGCACACUCUGAAUUGUUUUCUAUUUUUUUGCACUUCUUUCCUCUUUUUUUUCUCCACAACAAUUUUUUUCGAAAAAGUCUACAAAUGGUCUAAAAACUGCCUAGCCAGAAUUUUCCAGACUUAGUUUUUUUUUGAGUUUGGAACUCUUUUUCUACUGCGGGUAGCACGGAAGUUGGAGAGUCCAACUUGGUCAUGACUCGAAGUAUCGUGUGAUCUAGAACUCGAAAAUAAAGGAACAAAUACUGGACUCGGACUAGGACUGGUGGUGGAGAUGAAUCUGGUGGAAACUCGGACUGGUGGCGAAUAUAUGUAGGGCGGUGGAACACGGACUGGUGGCGAAUCUGUGAUGGAGGUGGACUCGGAUUAUCGUGAUGGCGGUCAAUAUGUGGUAUAUGGCAGCGGCGGUGAUGGUGGUGGUAUAUGGUAGCGGUGAUGACGAUGGUGGUAUAUGGCAGAGGUGACGAUGAUGGUGGUAUAUGGCAGCGGUGAUGAUGAUGAUGCGGCGGCGGCGGCGUGACUACUUUUGAAUAGAACUCGAAACUCUAAAGGACUAGACACUAAGACCAGUAACUAGACACGACAAUGCAACCGCAAAUUCAACAAUGCGAAGCCCUAAAAAGAUUAUGCAAAGGCUUAGAUUGGUUUGGAUAUGAUGAACUAACCCUAAUUUUUUGUGGCUUUUUCGUGGACUGUAGGUAUGAAGAACAGACUCGAUCUAAACUACAAAAAACUGUAAAAUCUCACCGAGCAACCUGCAAAUCUGAUACCACUUGAUAGAGGCAAAGGUGUCCCAUCUUUCGAUGAGAUGGUGGCUAUCGUUUUGGAGGAAGUCGACUUUGACGAUCUGACUACGAACGUGUGAGGACGUCGCGCCUUAGCAAUCGCUAAACCAACUCUGAGAGGUUAUUGACCACGCCGGAGCACGAUCAACCUGACCACGAAGGUUUGUUUCCUGCAGGCAAACGAAGAACAAGCAAGAAACUAAGAUUGCAAUCCGGAUAUUGCGAAUAUAAGAGGAAAGCUUUAUUGAUCAAGGUGGGGUUCUGUGACGCCUUUGUUUGGUCGUUGAACACAAAUGAAGUACGCGAAGUUGCAGCUAUGGCGAACUUUCAUCUAAACAAAACCCAAAGUCUAAACGAUGCCCUAAGGGCUGUAUAUAUGGAGGAGAGAGGGGAGAAUUUCGUGGACCUUGGAGGAGGGGUCCAAAACCAACCCUAACUCUUGUUUCCCCACACAUACGGACUCUAAAAACUUCCUAUAAUCAAGUAUUUCAAAAUUACAUGGGCCUGGCCCAAAGAUAAGGUGACGUAGCACCUAGUAUAGCCUCUGGACGAAAUUUAUGAAGUGGCAUCUUGUAUAUUUCAUCCAAGGCUUCAUGCACUCAUUAUGGUGGCUCCAAGGUUCAUCUUUCUUGUCCAAGCUAGGCCCUUCAUUUGUAAGCAAAACAAAUGUAUCCAAUUUAGGCAGCAUCAUAUUCUCAUGAACAUUAGAAUCGUUACCAAGAUACGAAAGUAUCUGAUAAUUCAAUUGGCGUGCAUGAGCUCUAGUAAUUGGUCCAGUAUGUAUAGCAGCAGGGGUUGUGGGUGUAACAAUGGUAUUGAUUUCCUCAUCACCCUCGCACACUGCCGGACCCCCUGCAUCGCCUCCGACCUUCCUCGCGCUCGAUCUGCUCCAAGUCGUGCCGCUGGCAAAGUUCCUCGACCCACAGACCGGAGCUGCCUCCUUGCUGUCCCCAUCGACUGAUGCCACUUGCCUCCUCUGCUUCGAACACACGCGCGCGCCUGCCUCCCUUGCCUCGCAUGCCUCAUCGCAGGUCAGCCGCGUCGCUGCUCAUGGCCUGCACCAACCUCCUCCUCCGUAGCCAAGUCCCACCACCGUCGGAAAUGGAGUCCGCACCUCUGGAUCCGCUGAGACCCUGCCAUGCUGACGUCUUCCCUGGCAAGGAGCCACCUAGACUCCUCCCACUCGUCUGCAACGAUGAGAGGCUUCUCUACCUUGUCCUCGCUUUGACCGCCUCCUCUUCCUCCACGCGUGUGCACAUAGAAUAGAUCAUACAUAAAAGAGUUAUCCUCGAUGGCAACUCUUUUUAUUCUACAUAGAAUAGAUCUCCAAGAAGAUCGAGGAGAACUUUGUAUUGAGAUCCAAAGAGAGAGAAGAAGCCAUCUAGCUAAUAACUAUGGACCCUAAGGUCUGAAGUAAACUACUCACACAUCACCGGAGAGGCCAUGGAGUUGAUGUAGAGGCCCUUCGUGAUUGAUGCCCCCUCCGGUGGAGCUCCGGAAAAGGCCCCAAGAUGGGAUCUCUUGGGUACAGAAGGUUGCGGCGGUGUAAAUAGGGUUUCGUGGUCCUCUUGGAUGUUUUUUGGGGUAUAUGAAUAUAUAUAGGAGGAAGAAGUAGGUCGGUUGAGCCACCAGGGGCCCACGAGGGGGGAGGGCGUGCCCAGGGGGUAGGCGCGCCCCCUGCCUCGUGGACUCCUCGUUUGUUUCUUGACGUCCACUCUAAGUCCUCUAGAUCACGUUUGUUCCAAAAAUAACUCUCUCGAAGGUUUCAUUCCGUUUGGAUUCCGUUUGAUAUUCCUUUUCUGCGAAACACUGAAAUAGGCAAAAAAACAGUAAUUUGCACUGGGCCUUGGGUUAGUAGGUUAGUCCCAAAAAAAUAUAAAAGUGUAAAAUAAAGCCCAUUAACAUCCAACACAGAUAAUAUAAUAGCAUGGAACAAUCCAAAAUUAUAGAUACGUUGGAGACGUGUCAAGCAUCCCCAAGCUUAAUUCUUGCUCGUCCUCGAGUAGGUAAAUGAUAAAAACAGAAUUUUUGAUGUGGAAUGCUACCUAACAUAAUUCUCAAUGUAAUUCUCUUUAUUGCGGGAUGAAAUUCAGAUCCGAAAGAUUCAAGACAAAAUUCUCAUAUUGACAUAGAAAUAAUAAUACUUCAAGCAUACUAACUAAGCAAUUAUGUCUUCUCAAAAUAACAUGACCAAAGAAAGUUAUCCCUACAAAAUCAUAUAGUCUGGCUAUGCUCUAUCUUCACCACACAAAGUAUUUAAAUCAUCAACAACCCCGAUGACAAGCCAAGCAAUUGUUUCAUACUUUUCAUGUUCUCAAACUCUUUCAAUCUUCACGCAAUACAUGAGCGUGAGCCAUGGACAUAGCACUAUAUGUGGAAUAGAAUGGUGGUUGUGGAGAAGACAAAAAGGGAAAACAUAGUCUCACAUCAACAAGGCGUAUCAAUGGGCUAUGGAGAUGCCCAUCAAUAGAUAUCAAUGUGAGUGAGUAGGGAUUGUCAUGCAACGGAUGCACUAGAGCUAUAAGUGUAUGAAAGCUCAAAAAGAAACUAAGUGGGUGUGCAUCCAACUUGCUCGCUCACGAAGACCUAUGGCAUUUUGAGGAAGCCCAGCAUUGGAAUAUACAAGCCAAGUUCUAUAAUGUAAAAUUCCCACUAGUAUAUGAAAGUGAUAACAUAAGAGACUCUCUAUCAUGAAGAUCAUGGUGCUACUUUGAAGCACAAGUGUGGAAAAAGGAUAGUAACAUUGUCCCUUCUCUCUUUUUCUCUCAUUUUUUUAUUUGGGCCUUCUUCUCUUUUUCUAUGGCCUCUUUUUUUAUUUUUUCAUCUGGAUUCUCAUCCCGACUUGUGGGGGAAUCAUAGUAUCCAUCAUCCUUUCCUCACUUGGGACAAUGCUCUAAUAAUGAUGAUCAUCACACUUUAUUUACUUAGAACUCAAGAAUUACAACUCAAUUCUUAGAACAAAAUAUGACUCUGUGAAUGCCUCCGGUGGUGUACCGGGAUAUGCAAUGACUCAUGAGUGACAUGUACGAAAGAAUUAUGAAUGGUGGCUUUGCCACAAAUACGAUGUCAACUACAUGAUCAUGCAAAGCAAUAUGACAAUGAUGAAGCGUGUCAUAAACAGAACGGUGGAAAGUUGCAUGGAAUAUAUCUCGGAAUGGCUAUGGAAAUGCCAUAAUAGGUAGGUACUCUGCUUAUUUUGAGGAAGGUAUAUGGUGGGUUUAUGGUACCGGCGAAAAUUGCGCGGUACUAGACAGGCUAGCAAUGGUGGAAGGGUGAGAGUGCGUAUAAUCCAUGGACUCAACAUUAGCCAUAAAGAACUCACAUACUUAUUGCAAAAAUCUAUUAGUUAUUGAAACAAAGUACUACGUGCAUGCUCCUAGGGGGAUAGAUUGGUAGGAAAAUACCAUCGCUCGUCCCCGACCGCCACUCAUAAGGAAGACAAUCAAUAAAUAAAUCAUGCUCCGACUUCAUCACAUAACGGUUCACCAUACGUGCAUGGUACAGGAAUCACAAACUUUAGAACAAGUAUUUCUCAAAUUCACAACUACACAACUAGCAUGACUCUAAUAUCACCAUCUCCAUAUCUCAAGACAAUCAUCAAGUAUCAAACUUCUCAUAGUAUUCAAUGCACUUUUUAUGAUAGUUUUUAUUAUACCGAUCUUGGAUGCCUAUCAUAUUAGGACUAAAUUCAUAACCAAAGCAAAUUACCAUGCUGUUCUAAAGGACUCUCAAAAUAAUAUAAGUGAAGCAUGAGAGAUCAAUAAUUUCUAUAAAAUAAAACCACAACCGUGCUCUAAAAGAUAUAAGCGAAGCACUAGAGCAAAAUUAUCUAGCUCAAAAUAUAUAAGUGAAGCACAUAGAGUAUUCUAAUAAAUUCCGAUUCAUGUGUGUCUCUCCCAAAAGGUGUGUACAGCAAGGAUUAUUGUGGUAAACUAAAAAGCAAAGACUCAAAUCAUAUAAGACACUCCAAGCAAAACACAUAUCAUGUGGUGAAUAAAAAUAUAGCUCCAAGUAAAGUUACCGAUGGAAGAAGACGAAAGAGGGGAUGCCUUCCGGGGCAUCCCCAAGCUUAGGCUUUUUUUCCUUGAAUUUUACCUUGGGGUGCCUUGGGCAUCCCCAAGCUUAGGCUCUUGCAACUCCUUGUUCCAUAAUCCAUCAAAUCUUUACCCAAAACUUGAAAACUUCACAACACAAAACUUAAAAGAGAAUCUCGUGAGCUCCGUUAGUAAAAAAACAAACCACCACUUCAAGGUACUGUAAUGAACUCAUUAUUUAUUUAUAUUGGUGUUAAACCUACUGUAUUCCAACUUCUCUAUGGUUCAUACACUCAAAUACUAGCCAUAGAUUCAUCAAAAUAAGCAAACAACACACGAAAAACAGAACAAUAUGUAGAAAUCUGUAGGUUUGGAAUACUUCUGGAACUCCAAAAAUUCUAAAAUAAGUUGCUGGACGUGAGGAAUUUAUCUAUUAAUCAUCUUCAAAAAUAAUUAACUAAAUAGCACUCUCCAGUAAACAAUGGAAGCAAAUAUCGUGAGCGCUAAAGUUUCUGUUUUUUACAGCAAGAUUGCAAAGACUUUCCCCAAGGCUUCCCAAAGGUUCUACUUGGCACAAAAACUAAUUAAAAGCAUAAAACCACAUCUAAACAGAGGCUAUAUGAAUUAUUUAUUACUAAAAAGAAUCAAAAGCAAGGAACAAAAAUAAAAUUGGGUUGCCUCCCAACGAGCGCUAUCGUCUAACGCCCCUAGCUAGGCAUAAAAGCAAGGAUAGAUCUAGGUAUUAUCAUAUUUGGUAUGCAAUUCUUAAAUAUAACACUUAUAACCCUUAGGAGUUUCCUUCUUUCUAUUAAUGAUUAAAAUCCUUGGAAAGAAAUCAAGAAAAUCAUUUGUAGCAAAAGGUUCCUUAAUGAUAGCGAUAAAGUUGGGGUGAACACUUAUGGAUUUGAGAUCCGCAUUUUCCUUACUAGAAGUUUCACCCUUAUUUUGAGGAACAUACAUUAGUUUCGCAACUUUGGUAGGAGGAUUUUAAGUAUUCCUUAUGGCAGAAAAAGUGGACCCCAAGUUGGUGAUAAUACCCUCAAGUUUAUCAGUUCUAGUGGAAUCUUGGUCUAUUCUUUCAUUAACUACGGGUUCUUUUUCUUUAAAACUUUUCAGAGUAACUCCUACCUUAGAUCCAUAUUGAGUAAUUUGGUUGUGGAUCUUUUUAUCCAAAUUCUCAAUCAAUUCUACAGUGGCAAUUUUAUUUUCAAUAAUAUCGAGCCUUUGCAUAACAUGUUCCAAAGUUAACAUAGUUCCAUUAACCAAGAGAGGUGGUGUGCCAAACAAAUCUAUCAUAACAUUAUAAGAAUCAAAAGUGUGGCUACCCAAGAAAUUUCCUCCGGUAAUGGUAUCAAGAAUAUAUCUAUUCCAAGGGAUGAUGCCCACAUAAAAAUUGCGAAGAAGAACGGAAGUAGAUUGCAUCCUAGUGCAUCUAUUUUGCGCAUUGCAAAUUCUGUACCAAGCAUCUUUUAGAUUUUCUCCCACCCUUUGUUUAAAAUUAAGGACCUCAUUCUCGACAGACAAAGGAGUAGAUAAAGGACUAGCCAUAAUGACGAAACAAGCAAAAUAAAAGCCGAACGGAAAAAGAGGGCGAAUAAAACGGCAAGGGUGAAGUGGGGGAGAGGAAAAUGAGAGGCAAAUGGCAAAUAAUGUAAUGCGAUGGAUAAGAGUUUGUGAUGGGUACUUGGCAUGUCUUGAGUUGUGCAUAGACUCCCCGGCAACGGCGCCAGAAAUCCUUCUUGCUACCUCUUGAGCACUGCGUUGGUUUUCCCUUAAAGAGGAAAGGGUGAUGCAGCAAAGUAGCGUAAGUAUUUCCCUCAUUUUUUGAGAACCAAGGUAUCAAUCUAGUAGGAGGCCACACGCAAGUCCCUCAUACCUACACAAACAAAUAAGAACCUGGCAACCAACGCGAUAAAGGGGUUGUCAAUCCCUUCACGGUCACUUACGAGAGUGAGAUCUGAUAGAGAUAAUUAUUAUUAUUAUUAUUAUUAUUAUUAUUAUUAUUAUUAUUAUUAUUAUUAUAAGAUAAAUAUUUUUGGUAUUUUUAUGAUAAAGAGUAAAAGUAAAGAUUGCAAAAUAAAAUAGAUUGGAAACUUAUAUGAUAAAAGAUACACCCGGGGGCCAUAGGUUUCACUAGUGGCUUCUCUCAAGAUAGCAUAAGUAUUAUGGUGGGUGAACAAAUUACUGUCGAGCAAUUGAUAGAAAAGCGAAUGAUUAUGAGAAUAUCUAGGCAUGAUCAUGUAUAUAGGCAUCACGUCCAUGACAAGUAGACCAACUCCUGCCUGCAUCUACUACUAUUACUCCACACAUCGCCCGCUAUCCAGCAUGCAUCUAGAGUAUUAAGUUCAUAAGAACAGAGUAACGCAUUAGGCAAGAUGACAUGAUGUAGAGGGAUAAACUCAAGCAAUAUGAUAUAAAUCCCAUCUUUUAUCCUUGAUGGCAACAAUACAAUACGUGUCGUUUCCCUUUCUGUCACUGGGAUCGAGAACCGCAAGAUUGAACCCAAAGCUAAGCACUUCUCCCAUUGCCAGAAAGAUCAAUCUAGUAGGACAAACCAAACUGAUAAUUUGAAGAGACUUGCAAAGAUAACCACUCAUACAUAAAAGAUUUCAGAGAAGAAUCAAAUAUUGUUCAUAGAUAGACUUGAUCAUAAACCCACAAUUCACCGGAUCUCGACAAACACACCGCAAAAAGAGUUACAUCAAAUAGAUCUCCAAGAAGAUCGGGGAGAACUUUGUAUUGAGAUCCAAAGAGAGAGAAGAAGCCAUCUAGCUAAUAACUAUGGACCCGAAGGUCUGAAGUAAACUACUCACACGUCACCGGAGAGGCCAUGGAGUUGAUGUAGAGGCCCUCCAUGAUCGAUGCCCCCUCCGGCGGAGCUCCGGAAAAGGCCCCAAGAUGGGAUCUCUUGGGUACAGAAGGUUGCGGUGGUGGAAAUAGGGUUUCAUGGUGCUCCUGGAUGUUUUUGGGGUAUAUGAAUAUAUAUAUAUAUAGGAGGAAGAAGUAGGUCGGUUGAGCCACGAGGGGGAGGGCGUGCCAAGGGGGUAGGCGCACCCCCCCUGCCUCAUGGACUCCUCGUUUGUUUCUUGACGUCCACUCCAAGUCCUCUGGAUCAUGUUUGUUCCAAAAAUAACUCUCCCAAAGGUUUCAUCCUGUUUGGAUUCUGUUUGAUAUUCCUUUUUUGUGAAACACUGAAAUGGGCAAAAAAACAGCAAUUUGCACUGGGCCUUAGGUUAGUAGGUUAGUCCCAAAAAUAAUAUAAAAGUGUAAAAUAAAGCCCAUUAACAUCCAAAAUAGAUAAUAUAAUAGCAUGGAACAAUCAAAAAUUAUAGAUACGUUGAAGACGUAUCAGGCAGCCAGAUCCAUCGGCCUGCACCAGCGUGCAGCCCAGCCUCGCGGCCUGCUGGCACCACCAUCUGGGCCUUGGGCCAUGUGAGAACCCCGGCCCAGUGUGCUCUAUUUCAGCCCAGUUCAUAUUUUUUUGUCUGCUGCAAUUUAGCUAUUAUCCAAAGAAUUACUGUUUUACAGAAAACACCCUAGAACUCAUGCAUCGGAUUAAAACAAAUUAUAUACGUAAAAUUCUUAGGAUUUCAUCUAGUUUCACAAUUUCCAACUUUCAUCCAUGCUAAAAAUGUUUAAAAUUGUUGUUUGAUUAAAGUUACAUAGAAGACAUAUUAAAAUGACUUAUUUCAUAACUAAUUAACCGUAGCUAUGAAUUAGAAAACUUUAUAUGUAAAUGGGGCUAGAAAAAUGCAUAGAUUAACUUGAUGCACUUACUUUGCAUGUUUAACAAUAAUAAGAUAUGGUUUAGGGCAGAACAGUACCAACUUCAAAAUAUGCAUAUGGGGAUUUUCAGGAAUUGUUGUUUGUCGUUUCCGGCCUCAUUUAACCUUGCCUAAAUAGUUAGAUUAAUUAUGCUUCAUCUCUUGCCAUGUUAAUCAACAUUUAAUAUUGAUGGGUAGCAUAAACAGGAGUGAACUAAAUAUUUGAAUGCGGUGUUUUGUCAAUAUGCAACUCGGUGCAUAUUGACUCUACUUAAUUUGUAGUAUUGUUUGUUGCACUUUGCCAUGCCAUGACUCAUUAAACCAGGCAUGCAUCAUACUUGGUUGCGCAUCAUGCCAUGUUUAUGCUUGUUGGUUUCCCAUGUUGUUUGCUUCUUUCUGGUUCUGCUUCUUCGUGAUAGUUCCGGCUAUGCUGCGACUGUGAGGAUCCGUUCGACUACGUUGGUUCGCCUACUUCAUGGAUUCGGUCUUAUUCCUAGCAGGAUUUCAAGCAAGAUGACCAUUACCUUGGAUACCACUACUAUCUUUUCUUGCUAGUUUUCUCGAUGUUAUCACUAUGUCGCGCUACGUAUCACUUGUUUAUCAAGCCUCCCAAAUUACCAUGAACAACCUCUAACCUUUUCCACCAUCCCAGCAAACCAUUGUUUGGCUAUGUUACCGCUUUGGUCAGCCCCUCAGAUAGUGUUGCUAGUUGCAGGUGCAGUUCAGGUUAUUCCAUGUCGGGACAUGGAUAUCAUGGGAUAUCACAAUAUCUCUUAUUUAAUUAAUGCAUCUAUAUACUUGGUAAAGGGUGGAAGGCUCGGCCUUUUGCUUGGUGUUUUGUUCCACUCUCGCCACCCUAGUUUUCGGCAUACCGGCGUUAUGUUCCAUGAUUGAGCGCUCCCAACAUGUGUGGGGUUUUAUGGGGACCCCCUGAUCAUUUGCUUAGGUUUAACUCUUCCAGCAAGGCCCAACAUUGAUUUACCAUUUUCCUAAUAACAACUAAAACUUGCAUAGGGACUUUCCAGACCCUGUGGAUUUUUAAUCAACAAACUGGCAAGUGCUACUCAUGAGUGUUGUUCCACUUACCUAGCAGUCGGUGGUGACGCCUUGGGGAAACUCGAUGGUAUUCAGGCUAUCGUCCACUUCGCAUAGAAGGUUGUGUCCUGAGAACGAGAUAAGCGCGGUUCUUAUAGGGGUGACGACACACCGAGUUGUCUUGCUGGAUUAGUUGUACCUGUGACGAGUGGCUUGUCCACCGGGAUUCCUUAUUGUAAGCAUCAUGUUCUUCAUGGUGUGAGGAUGUUCCAUCGGAUGCGUGUGGUAGCUUGUGAUGGAUUAAUUUGGAGCACCCUUGUAGGGUUAAAUCUUUUCGGAAGUCAUUCCCGCGGUUAUGUUGCAGAUUGGAAAUUUAUAAUAUCCAUUUGUAGAGAACAUGACACCAGAUCCGAAUUAAAAUACACCAACCGCGUGCGUAACUGUGACUAUCUCUUUUUGAGUGAGGUCCGAGAAGAGAACACGGUGAGGUUAUGUUUGACUUGUAUGUAGUUCAGGAUCACUUCUUGAUCAUUACUAGUUUGUGGCCAUUAUAUGUAGUUUUACUUCUUACCCUUGUACUCGUAAGUUAGCCUCUAUACAAUGCUUAGUGCUUGCUGCAAACCUCAUCACUUAUCUAUUCCAUGCCCAUUAAGCUUUGCUAGUGAUGCAGCGCAUCCCAAGGUCAUCCCCAUGGACCUACCAUCGUCUCAACAAGUGCCUAGCGGAUCCAUGACACAAGCACGUGCAAGAGCUCUCGAAACCGAGGUGACAUCUCUCCUCUCACAAGUUCACUUCAAUGCACAUGAGACAUGGCUACUACCUCAAACAGAGACAUUAUGCAUACUCAGGUAUCAAGGAGUUAGCCAUGAAGAAGCUAAGGAGCAAGGAGAAUCAGAAGAUGAAGAUGGACGUGAAGAAGAAGAGAUGCGGAAGAAGCUACAGGCUCCGACGACUGACCCAGAUCGGACGUCCGACGAUCUACAGGCUCCGGACGACCGACCAAGACCGGACGUCCGACGAUCUCCAGGCUCCGGACGUCUGACCUUCUCUGGACGACCGACACACCCACACCCGAGCCGAAACUAUGAAUUUCCGAAGCCCUCAGGACGAACGACGCCCGGACGACCGACCCCGACCGGACGUCCAACUGAAGCACAACCGAGCCGAAUCUACGAACGUCCGACGAGCACCGGACGUCCGGACCCUCAUGAGCCUCCGGACGACCGGUGACUCCCGGACGUCUGACUCUUGUGUGUUGUUAUGUGUUGGGCCGGAGCCCAUGUAUCCCUUCGCCCUACCUAGACUAUAUAUACUCUUCCCCUACCUAUGUUUUAGGGUUAGCAAAGGAUUAGCUCAUAUUUCGUGUGAGAGCUUUGCUCAUCCACUUGGUUACCUUCUCCUCGGAGAUAGCGCCUCCUUGGAGAAGAUCCCCCAAGCGGAUUCAAAACCCUUUUAGGGAAGAACCUCAAGACCUCCUAACGGAGAAGACCGGUUACCUUUGCAUCGUCCCUAGUUGACCGUGGAUCGUGCGACCCCUUAUGUACUCGAGGAUCUAGCAUAUGUGUGACUAUUUCUUGUUGGUUUAGUGUUUCUCUCGUGUUUCCCCUUGUGUUUCCCCUCGUAAUUUCCCUUGUGUUCUUCAUGUUCAUCGUGGGAUCUACUCCUCUCAUGAAAGAUCAGCUCCUAGGGUUCCUACCCUACAUCAUCUUGGUAUCAGAGCCACGUUGAUCACGAUUUUGGAGCCUCCCCAUUGUGCUUCUAGCCUAGUUUUUGUUGAUUUUGUCCCUAAUUCAAAAAUUCCCCACAAAAAUAGCCACAAUUUUUUUUGUGAUUUGUUGGUAUGUUGAAAUUUUGUUGAAUUUGAUCUGUGGAUUUGCUUUGCCUUGAGUGGAUCUACCUUUUCCCCCCUGUCUCCACCUUUCCCAUCCACAAAAUCGCCCGGAUUUGAUGAAUUUCGACCUCUCCAUCACGAACCCUAGCUGUUCUUCCCGUGACCGAAAUUUUUCCCAGGCUCCGGAUGUCCAACCGCCUCCGGACGUCCGACGACCGGACGACCGGCCCAUCCCGGAUGUCCGACGUUCCCUGACGAAACUGAAUUUUUCAGUUUUAGUCACCACCACCGCCCCACUUCUGUAUACGCACUCCCACCACCGUUACACCAUCACCACUUCCACAUACUACCACCAUUGCUUACCCGUUUCGCACUCCGACAUGUGUUGCCACUUCGAUAUUUGAGAAUUUGAGUUGCAGUUCCAUUUCCUAUUGCGUUUCGGCUAUUUAGGUAUGGUUCAACAUCAACAUCACCGCCGCUUAUCUUCGCCACGGACGCGUAAUCAACAACGACCACCUCGACUACAUCUUGGUAUUCGUGCCACCAUUUUGACACCAUACCAUAAGCAAGAAGCGGUAACCUCACAUUGGUAUUGAAUAUAUCAUUAUUGCCAUUACAUUGAUAGCCAUCAUAGCCUUACUCAUUUGCGUCGCUUACCCUUCGAGACUAGCCCUUGAGUAUUGUCGGCAACAAGACUUGUGCACAUUAGUGAUCUUACUUCCCAUAGCAUACAUACAUCAUUGGUGCAUAUCUUGGUAUCAUCUCUUGUGUCACAAGGUUGUGAUCGCAUACACAAUUGCUAUCUUGGUUCGUGAAGCAUUGCAUGAGAAAAGAGCUCAAACAACAACGAGCCAAACAAGCUUUUAAGCAAAAGGGAAAGAUAAGCAAAGAGCUUUUAAGCAAGAACCAUAGCAUCAUACAACAUUAAGAUUGUCAUACUAGAUCAUCUUGGAUCAUAGCAUCGAAACACCAUACAUAGAGCAUACUUGGGAUAGAAGUCAUUGCAUUUUUGCUUAGUAGGUUGUGCACAAGUCUUGUAUCCGCCUUUUGUGCAAUCGUGCUAGCGUCUCUCUAGUGUUGUGCAACAAGAGCAUUUUCGUGGAUUCCACAUUUUGGCUCAUCCUUGGUUGCACGACCCCACUUAUCUUUUUGCGUGUGUGUUUCCGUGUACCUUAUAUUGCUUGGUCUACUUGUUGCAUUGCAAACUUGCGAAUCUUUUCCAACAUUAUUGAAGCUCACAAACAAUUGCAUCAAAUUUUGUGCCACCAUCUUAACCAAGCUCUACCAUAAGAUUUUACUUAUGUAGGUGUGAGAAACCGACAAGAAUUGGUACCAAUUGUGCUAUUUCCUUGUUCCACAUUGGAGUGCUCAUUGAUCCACCUUCAACUUUGGUCAAGGUACAUUUGGUAUACGUUCUUCUCUUUCACCCACUCACAUAUUUCUCUUGGAAUGAUGGAUAGGCCAAGUACUUCUACCAACCCACUCUUCAUUGAGCACGACGACAACAUGAACUCCUACAUCACCAAGAGCCACCUCUUUGUUGCACAACAUUCUUUGCAUAAAGAGCAACAAGCAAUGAGUGAACACAUCGACAACCUGGCCACUGACUUGCGACUCUCUGAGCAACAUACAAGGGACUACUUCGACCACAAGCUUGAUGAUCACAAGCAAGAAAACGACGCAAGAAUGGACGAGAUUUGUGCUUUGUUGCUCAACUGCUCUUUUUCCACUUUGUCCUCAUCAAAACGGAGCCGCACAAGUCGACACUCCGACUUCACCCUCUCCAGCUCAAGAACACCGACAUCGAACACUCUUCGACGUGUCGCGUGCAACGAUCGUCAAGCAAGCCGCAAUCCUCUACGUGACGCCGACUCUCAAGAGCACCGACAACGUCAAACCCAAGCGGCUUUUGCGCUAGCACGAGAACGGCAAUGACAACGCCAACAUGAAGAGGAAGAGCGAGCGUGUUUACACCAAGAUGCACAAGAUGUCGAGGCACAAAGCCAAGAACAGCAACUCCAUGACGCUCAAGCACUUGAGGUGCAACGUGCCCUCCGAGAUUCAAGUCGAGCCAUAGCCAACCGAGGCCGACAAGCUCGUGAACAUGAAGAAGCCCUUCGCGACGAAGCUCAUGAAUGAAGAUUUCAAGCUCGCGUGCAACACAAGCUCGCCAAGGACAUCAACUUCACCAAGAGCAUGAAGACAAAGAAAAUCCUCCACGAAAAGAGCAACAUGAGGUUGACAACCCUCCUCGCCAAGAGCACAAUGAGUUUGACAAUCAUCAACAACAUGGGCGUCAUCAUCCCCGACCCCAACACCAUGAAGAGCAACGCUGCGGCAAGCUUAAAUUCACCAUGCCCAAGUUCAAUGGAAGCAACAAUCUCGAAGAGUACCUUUCAUGGGCAUUGAAGGUCGACAAAAUCUUCCGCUUGCACAACUAUGAUGAAGAGAAGAAGAUCGCGAUGGCAUCCCUUGAGUUCCAAGACUAUGUCCUCAUUUGGUGGGAACAAGUUAUUGAGCGCCGUGAGGCAAGAGGUGAACCACCCAUCACUACUUGGGCGCAAAUGAAGGAUGUCAUGAGAGCACGCUUCGUGCCUACCUACUACAACCGCGACCUCUUCAAGAAACUCCAACUACUCAAGCAAGGAACCAAGAGCGUUGAAGAAUACUACAAGGAGAUGGCGAUUGCCAUGAUAAGAGCCAAUGUCAUGGAAGAUGAUGAGAAAACAAUGGCACGUUUCUUGAAUGGACUCAAUCAUCCAAUCAAGAAGAUCACCGACUUCCAACCAUACUCGAACCUCAUCAAGCUAGUGCAUCAAGAUACCAAAGCGGAACGUCAAGUGCAAGAGAUUACAAGUAUGCCAUGUUCUUAUCCAAGUCAUACGGUUUCUCCAACACCCAAGUUUAACGACUACAACACCGUCUACCAAGCCUUCUACAAGAAACGUCGACAAGUCAAGUUCCAAGAAAACUUCGACCACUCCAAGUCAUCCUACUACAAGCAACUUCAAGCCGAGAGCUUCAUCAUCAUCAACCCCCACUGAUGAGACCGUCAAGACAAGUUCCUUCAAAUGCUUCACAUGCGGAGGCCGAGGCCACAAGUCCUUUGAGUGUACCAACAAGCGAACCAUGAUCCUCAACGACGACGGCACUUAUGACUCAAUGAGUGAAGGAUAAAUGGAAGCCCUUGAGCAAGUGGCCAUACACCGGCAAGUGAAUGAAGAAGACACGGAACAAGUCUUUUUUGAUGAAGAUUCAAGUCCCGCUCUCGUUGUCUCCAUGGUCUUGACUCUUCAACAUCAACAAGAAGAAGACCAAAGAUGCCAUAUCUUCCAUACCAAUGCCGGCAUCAAUGGAAGAUCCGUCAAGGUCAUCAUCGAUGGAGGGAGGUGUCAUAACCUCGCAAGUGAAGAACUUUGCUCCAAGCUCCAAUUGCCCAAGACGAAGCACCCACAUCCCUACAAAGUUCAAUGGCUUAGCGACUCCGGCACUAUCCAAGUCGAGCAUCAAGUACAAGUCUCCUUCAAAAUUGGUGCCUACGAAGACAUUUUCGAGUGUGACGUCGUUCCAAUGACCAUUUGCCACCUUCUUCUUGGACGGCCAUGGCAAUUUGAUAGAGGUGUCAUCCACAACGGCCGAGCGAACCACUACAUCUUCAAGAUGAAGGGGAAGGAGUACGUACUUCGCCCUAUGUUGCCAAACCAAGUGAUCGCCAACAAGCAAGCCACCCAUCAUGGAGAGAAUAGUGAGAGAGUGAACCACCAAAAAGAGAGUGAGCGCCACAAACCCAAAUCGAGCGCCUCCAUGAUGAGCGACAAGAAGAACUUAGUUCUAUUUGCCACCAAAAGUGAGAUAAGAGGAGUGUGUGAGAACCCAUCUAGUGUCCUACACUAUGUCCUUUUGUGCAAGAGCAAUGCAACACCAACCAACACCUCUCACGCUCUACCUUUAGUGGUGUCUUCUCUUUUGCAGGAAUUUCAAGAUGUUUUCCCCGACGAGCUACCUCCGGGACUACCUCCACUACGAGGCAUCGAGCACCGCAUCGACCUCAUCCCCGGAGAACCUCUUCCGAACAAAGCUCCCUACCGCGUCAACCCCGAAGAAACCAAAGAAAUACAAAGGCAAGUAAAUCAUGUCAUAGACCAUGGACGUGUGCAUGAAAGUUUGAGCCCUUGUGCUGUUCCGGUCAUUCUUGUGCCAAAACGAGACGGUAGCUUUCGCAUGUGCUCCGAUUGUAGACCUAUCAAUGCUAUCACCAUUCGCUAUAGGUAUCCCAUUCGAUGCCUUGAUGAUAUGCUUGAUGAACUUAGUGGUGCCACUAUAUUCUCCAAGAUUGAUCUUAAAAGUGGUUACUAUCAAAUCCGCAUACAAGAGGGUGAUGAAUGGAAAACCGCUUUCAAAACCAACUUUGGGUUGUAUGAGUGGAUAAUCAUGCCUAUGGGUCUAUCGGAAGGACCGGGUACUUUUAUGCGUCUUAUGAAUCAUGUUUUUUGCCCUUAAAUUGGUGUGUUUGUUGUGGUCUACUUCGAUGAUAUCCUUGUUUAUAGCAAAUCUCUUAAAGAUCAUGUCACCCAUGUUCGAACCAUUUUGCAAACUCUUCGAAAAGAGCGUCUCUAUGCCAACAUGGAAAAGUUCCUUUUUGGCGUUGAUAAGCUCAUUUUCUUAGGUUUUGUUGUUUCCUCUAAGGGUGUUCAUGUUGAUGACUCUAAGAUCAAUGCUAUUAAAACUUGGCCACAACCAACCAACUUGCAUCAAGUGUGUAGCGUCCUUGGUUUAGCCGGUUUGUACCGUAGACUUGUCAAGGACUUUAGCACCAUUGCUUCCCCUUUGCAUGCUUUGAGCAAGAAAAAUGUGCCUUCUGUUUGGGGACAAUCCCAAGAUACCGCUUUCAAUGAGAUUAAGAAUUUGCUUACUCAUGCUCAUGUGCUUGCAUUACCCAACUUUGACAAAUCCUUUGAGAUUCAUUGUGAUGCUAGUGGUAAUGUAAUAGGAGCUAUGUUAACGCAAGAGAUGCGCCCCAUAGCUUACUUUAGUGAGAAACUUUCCGGAGCGCAACUCAAUUACCCCAUCUAUGACAAAGAGCUAUAUGCUUUAGUGCGAGUUUUGCACGAAUGGGAACACUUUUUUUGCCCCCAUGAAUUUAUCAUUCAUACCGACCAUGAAACGCUCAAGUAUCUUAAGGGUCAAACCAAUUUGAACAAGCGUCAUGCUAAAUGGAGAGAAUUCAUAGUCUUUUCCUUAUGUCAUCAAGUACAUCAAAGGUAAGGAAAAUAUUGUGACGGAUGCCCUUUCCCGCAUAUGCAUGCUUGUUAAUCAACUUGAAUUGGAUGUCAUUGGCUUUGAGCACAUAAAAGACUUGUCUGAGCAUGAUCCUACUUUUGCUACUCCUUAUGCCAAAUGUUUGACGCAUACCUCUUGGGAACGCUAUUACAUCAAAGAUGGAUAUCUAAUGAGAGCUAACAAACUUUGCAUCCCUGAGUAUUCUCUUUGUUUGUUGCUUUUGCAGGAAUCUCAUGGAGGAGGACUAAUGGGACAUUUUGGACGCGACAAGACUUUCGCUAUGCUCUCCAAGAAAUACUAUUGGCCCAAGAUGUUUCGCGACGUCAACCGCUUCACAAACCGAUGCUCUACAUCUCGCAAAGCUAAGUCUAAAACUCAAUCUCAUGGCCUUUACAUGCCUCUCCCAAUUCCAUAUCAACCAUGGGAAGACAUUAGCAUGGAUUUUGUAGUUGGAUUGCCUAGGACUAGAAAUGGAAAGGAUUCGAUAUUUGUCGUUGUGGACCGAUUUUCUAAGAUGGCACAUUUCAUUCCUUGCAACAAGAUAGACGAUGCUUCACAUGUUGCCAAUCUCUUUUGUAGGAAAAUAUUGCGUCUACGUGGAGUUCCAAAGACGAUCGUCUCGGACCACGACGUCAAGUUCCUAAGCUACUUUUGGAAGACCCUAUGCGCCAAGCUCGGAAUCAAGCUACUCUUCUCCAUGGCGUAUCAUCCACAAACCGACGGCCAAACGGAGGUGACCAACCGCACACUCUCCGCUCUACUUCACGUGCUCAUCAAAAAAACAUCAAGGAGUGGGAGGAGUGUCUACCUAUCACCGAGUUCGCCUACAACCGAGCAAGACACUCAACAACCGGCAAGUCCCCCUUCGAGGUCGUCUACGAAUUCAACCCAUUGUCACCAUUGGACAUUCUUCCUCUACAACUACAAGAGCGCAUCAAUAUGGACGCAAGUGCAUGUGUGAACCAUCUCAAGAAGGUGCAUGAGGAUACAAGGCACACAAUUGAGUGCCAAGUACAAUGACUUGCGACCCAGCUCAACAUCAACAAGCAACUCGUGGUAUUCGACAUUGGUAAUCUUGUGUGGCUACACCUUCGCAAAGACCGCUUCCCCAACGAACGCAAGUCCAAGCUCCUACCUCGAGAAGAUGGACCCUUCAAGGUGCUCGCACGCUACAACAACAAUGCUUACAAGAUCGAGCUCCCGUGCGACAAGUACAACAUUAGCGACAUCUUCAAUGUUAAGGACCUUUCGCCCUACCAUGGUGAUGAAGAAUUUGAUCCGAGGUCAGAUCUUCCCCAAGGGAGGGGAGAUGAUGCGGAGCAUCCCAAGGUCAUCCCCAUGGACCUUCCAUCGUCUCACCAAGUGCCUAGCGGACCCAUGACACGAGCACGUGCAAGAGGUCUCGAAACCAAGGUGACAUCUCUCCUCUCACAAGUUCACUUCGAUGCACAUGAGACAUGGCUACUAUCUCAAACAUAGAUGUUAUGCAUACUCAGGUAUCAAGGAGUUAGCCAUGAAGAAGCUAAGGAGCAAGAAGAAUCAUAAGAGGAAGAUGGACGUGAAGGAGAAGAGAUGUGGAAGAAGCUACAUGCUCCGGACGACCGACCCAGACCGGACGUCCGACGAUCUACAGGCUCCGGGCGACCAACCAAGACCGGUUGUCCGACGAUCUCUAGGCUCCGGACGUCCGACCUUCUCCGGACGACCGACACACCCACACCCGAGCCAAAACUACGGAUUUCCGAAGUCCUCCUGACGGCCGACCCCUACCGGACAUCCGAUCGAAGCACACCCGAGACGAAUCUACGGACGUCCGACGAGCACCGGACGUCCGGACACUCAUGAGCCUCCGGACGACCGGUGACUCCCGAACGUCCGAUGCCUAUGUGCUGUUAUGUGUUGGGUCGCAGCCCCUGUACCCCUUCGCCCCACCUAGACUAUAUAUACUUUUCUCCUACCUACGUUUUAGGGUUAGCAAAGGAUUAUCUCAUAUUUCGUGUGAGAGAUUUGCUCAUCCACUUGGUUACCUUCUCCUUGGAGAUAGCGCCUCCUCGGAGAAGAUCCCCCAAGCGGAUUCAAGACCCCUUUUAGGGAAGAACCUCAAGACCUCCUAACGGAGAAGAUCGGUUACCUUUGCAUCGUCGCUAGUUGACUAUGGACCGUGAGACACCUUAUGUACUCGAGGAUCUAGCAUAUGUGUGACUAUUUCUUGUUGGUUUAGUGUUUCUCUCGUGUUUCCCCUUGUCUUUUCCCUUGUAAUUUCCCUUGUGUUUUUCGUGUUCAUCGCGGGAUCCGCUCCUCUCGUGAAAGAUCGGCCCCUAGGGUUCCUACCCUACAUCAGCUAUUCUUGAUACCCAUGGUAAUGGGAUUGUUGAGUCCUCGUGGCUCACAGAUUACUGCAACAACAGGUGCAGGUAUAGGUAAAAUGAUGCUUUGACGUGAGAGCGAUGCUUGCUUGUUUUGGAGUUCUUCUGCUUCUUCUUUGAUCAAGGGAUAGGUUCCGGGUCAGGAUCCUGGAAUUACUAGGGUGGAUGUUGUUCUUCUUUUCGUUUGAUUUCAUCUGUAGUCGGAUCCUGCUCUUCUUUAUGAUGAUUGCUAUAUAUUGAUGUAUUUGUGUAUUCAUGUUGUAGCUUAUGGCGAGUGUAAGCCUUUAUCUUGUAUUCUCAUAUAUUCAGUACAUGGUAUGUUGUAAUGAUAUCCACCUUGCUAUGCGCUCGAAAUGCGGUUGUGCCCCAAUCAUGAGUUCAUCACAUGAUGGGGAUAGCAUUGCAUUUUGGGCGCUACAGAAGGACCAUAUAUUAUCGAAGAGGUUUAUCACUCUGGAGCUAUCAAAAUAAUUAAUGCCGAAAGUACUAACCUGAAGGUUGUCAAUGGGAAAAGAAUCAAACACUAUAUCUCAGCUACGCCUAUUAAUGUUGAAAGCAAUAUUAUUCAAACCAUGACACCGGAGGAACACAUAAAAGAAACUUCUGGAACUCUCCAGGAUCGUGAUUAAGAGGAGGUACGUGAUACGGUAAGUAAAUGGACUCCAAAAAAUCUGGAAAAAUAUAUUUUUGUCAGUUUUGGAAUAUUACAAAAAUUAGGAAAAUAAUAAACAACCACGAAGGCAACCGAGGAGGCACAAGACACUAGGGCGCACCUGCCUUGCCUGGUGCACCCAGGUGGGUUGUGCCCACAUCGGGCACCUUCCGGACUCCAUUUUCCCCUCGUUUUGAUUGUUUCCCAAGAUAAAAAAGCUUUAUAUACCCCCCGAAUGUAUUGACCACCGUAUCACGGAGAAAUCUUAUGUUCUUCUUUCUUGCUGUUUUUUGAUAGAUCUAGAUCGCCAUGGCCGCUCCGAGCUCCUCCAAGGACAAGUUCUUUGAUAAUGUCAUCAACCCGUAUUUGCGGGGGGUGAUGCAGCACUCUCAAGCCAUUGAGAUGUGUGAGGGGUGCUCCACAUCCGGGAUGUCUAGGGCCCAAGGGGAAGGGAACCGUGGAGGCUAGGCUCGAAGCCAUGGAGCAAGAGGUCUUCAAGUGCAGGGGAUGGUGGAGCACGGACUCAACGCCAAUCACCUCAUGAUCACGGAUUUCACCCGUGAUCACAAGGUGGAUGGUCGGUCCAUGAAGGACGUCGUCUUCACCCUCAAUGAGCAAAAAACUUCGUGCAAAGUAAAAUAUGCGAUCUUAAAAGUCAAGUCUUUGAAUAUGAGGCAAGAUCUAAAGGUAUGAGUUUGGCUGCCAGUUGCAGGACUCGCGAGACUCAUGCUUCCUCUUAUGAUGGUGAGCCGCUACCAUGGAAGCCGGAGGACCAACUUACUACCUCAUCUCCACCACCACCAUCACCUUCUUCACUACCAAAGGAGACUUGAGUAUCGGGUAUGAGCACUCCCAUUGGCUUGUGCCAAGCUUGGGGGAGGUGCCCGGGUAUCGUAUCACACCACCUUCUUUGCCUUUAUUUAUCCUAGUUCGAUCUUUAGUUAUCUUUUGAGUUAGUUGAAUAAAAGUUUAGUUCAAUCUUUUUCAAGUGUUUUCUUAGUGAUCUAUCUAUGUAAUCGUGUGCGAGAUAUAUAAUAAAUUUAGCUUGAGUUUUUCUUUAUUUACUUUUAUGUUUCAAUCAAAUUAAAAAUAAUAAUGAAAAAGAUCAUAUGCUAACCUUAUGGUAAGUAAUGACAUCACAUAAGGAAAAGUAUAAGUGGUAAAAUUUAUUAGAUAUUGACAAACAUAGCAUUGGUCAAUGAUGCAAUUCAUGAAAGAAUAAAUGAGGGAAGAGAAGAUUCACAUGCAAAUACACUAUCUUGGACAUCUUUUAUGAUUAUGAGCCCUCAUCAAAACAAUAUAUGCCAAAAUUGUUAACGUUGGACAAGGAAGACAAUGUAAUGAUUUAUGAUUGUUCUUAUUCACAUAGAAGUUAUAUUUUCAUGGAUCCUUUAACAUGUGGUGCUUGCCCCUAUCUUUGCUAGCCAAAAAUUCCGCACUAAGUACAAAUACUACUUGUGCAUCCAAAAACCCUUAAACCCAAAAUCUUGUUUUGAGAGUCCACCAUACCUACCUAUGGAUCGAGUAAGAUCCUUCAAGUAAGUUGUCAUCGAUGCAAUAAGGCAAUAAAAAUUGCUUCUAAAUGUGUUGGAUCAUUUAGUGUAAGAGAAAAUUGAGCGUUGUACGAACUUGUGAUGGAAAAAUAAUAAAGACGACAGACUAUGAUAUAAAGGUUGCUAUCAUAAGGGGCAAUAUAACGUGACGUUCUUUUGGACUAAGAGAUUGAGUAUACAAACCAAAAAGCACAUGACAACCUCUGCUUACCUCUACGAAGGGCCUAUCUUUUACUUUUAUGUAUUUACUUUAUGCAAGAGUCAAAGUAUUCUUCCCUAUUCUUUUUUAUUUUCUCUUUUGCAAGCAUCAUGUGGUGAUGAAAGAUCUAGGCACAUAUAUCCAGUUGGAUGUGAGUGAGCAUGAGUUAUUAUUGUUGACAUCACCCUUGAGGUGAAUACGUUGGUAGGCAAAACUAUAAGCCCCUAUCUUUCUAUGUGUCUGGUUGAAACUUUUUGCUCAUGGAUAUGCGGUGAGUGUUAGAAAUCAUAGAAGAUUAUGUGAUGGUUGAGUAUGUGGACUUGCCAAAAGGCUCCGAUACGAGACCCUUCCUGAAAAGAUGAUGAAUUGUAGUUGGAAGGUUGACUGAGAACAUUGUUUGUUGGUUUUCAAUAGAGUUUAUGCUUCUACUUCAUGUUGUGAUGAAUUGUUACUUGUUCAUGAGAAGUUAUAUGAUAAAAGUUAUGUGAUAAAGUUUUAUGAUAAGCUUUGUUGUUAUUAUAAUAACAUGCAUGAUGCUUCUAUGUCCGUACUUUGUUUUUAUUGACACCUCUCUCUCUCUAAGCAUGUGGACAUGUUUUUCGAUAUCGGUUUUUUGCUUGAGGACAAGUGAGGUCUAAACUUGGGGGAAUUGAUAUGUCCAUUUUGUAUCAUGUUUUCAUACUGUUAUUUAUAAUGUUUUUAUGCUUAAUAAUGCUUUAUGGAGUAAUUCUAAUGUCUUCUCUCUCAUAAUACGCAAGGUUUACACAAAGAGGGAGAAUGCCGGCAGCUGGAAUUCUGGACCUAAAAACCUACGUCAAAGUUACCUAUUCUGCACAUCUCCAAAUGAGCUGAAAAUUUACGGAGAAUUGUACUGGAAUAUAUAAAAAUACUGGAGCAAAUAACUACUAGAGGGGCCCACCUGGUGAGCACAAGACACCAGGGCGCGCCUGGGCCCCUAGGUGCGCCCUGGUGGGUUGUGCUCAGCACGGCCCACCUCCGGUGCCCAUCUUAUGGUAUAUAGGUCAUUUUGACCUAGAAAAAUAAGCAGACGACUUUGAGGACAGAGCGCCGCAGUCUCGAGAUGGGACUUGGGCAGGAGCACUUUUGCCCUCCGACGGAGCUUUUCCGCUGGGGGAACUUCCCUCUUGAAGGGGGGAAUCGAAGCCAUCGUCAUCACCAACAACCCUCUCAUCUUUGGGAGGGCAAUCUCCAUAAACAUCUUCAAUAGCACCAUCUCCUCUCAACCCUAGUUCAUCUCUUGUGUUCAAUCUUUGUACCGUAACCUCACAUUGGUACAUGUGGGUGACUAGUAGUGUUGAUUACAUCUUGUAGUUGAUUACUAUAUGGUUUAUUUGGUGGAAGAUUAUAUGUUCAGAUCCAUUAUGCUAUUUAAUACCCCUCUUGUCGUGGUUUUGUCACAGCAGAUGCCCUUGUGAAAGGACUUAUGUGUGGAGCCAUCGCAGCGUAUGUUAGCUUGAAGGGGUUGAACGGGAUAAAGGACACAGGGUUUACCCAGGUUCGGCCCCUCUCAAUGAGGUAAAAGCCUACUCCUGCUUUUGUUGACUAUUGCUUGGGUAUCGAUUACAAGGGUGUGGAAUCGCUUGACCUAGCUAUCGAUCAAUUGUUCUUGAGUUAACCCGCCGUAGGGUCUCACCUUUAUAUACACAGGUCGAGCCCCGGGGCUUACAAGAGUCCGAGUUGGGUCACACAACGUGACCAAUAAGGUUUCUAGGUCUCAUUGCCAUACCAGGCAAGUCACCAUCGGGCGGCUCUCACCUCCGGGUCUUGGGCCUUCAACAGGCCCGCCUCUUAAGCCGCCUCUAGUCUUCAUGUCUCCUCAGGCCCAUCUAAGCCUUUCAUUCUUGAGUCGCCAACAGUGUAACCCAGCCCCUCCUGGGCGGGUGUGAUCUUGAGCAUGAUUAUCAUUUGUGAUUAGUUACUUUUUUUCUUGAGGUCACGGGAGAAGUCAUGUUGCAAGUAAUCAUGUGAACUUGAUAUGUGUUUGAUAUUUUUAUGAUAUGUAUGUUGUGAUUCCCUUAGUGGUGUCAUGUGAACGUCGACUACAUGGCACUUCACCAUAUUUGGGCCUAAGGGAAUGCAAUGUGGAGUAGUUAUUAGAAGAUGGGUUGCUAGAGUGAUAGAAGCUUACACCCUAGUUUAUGCGCUACUUCGUAAGGGACCGAUUUGGAUCUAAAAGUUUAAUGCUAUGGUUAGAUUUUUAUCUUAAUAAUUUUCUUAUAGUUGCGGAUGCUUGCGAGAGGGUUAAUCAUAAGUAGGAGGUUUGUUCAUGUAAGAACAGCACCUAAGCACCGGUCCACCCACAUAUCAAAUUAUCAAAGUAGCGAACACGAAUCAAACCAACAUGAUGAAAGUGCCUAGAUGAAAUUCCCGUGUACCCUCAAGAACGCUUUGCCUAUUAUAAGAAAUCAGUUUGGCAUGUCCUUUACCACAAAAGGAUUGGGCUACCUUGCUGCACUUUAUUUACCAUUACCGUUACUUGCUCGUUACAAAUUAUCUUGCUAUCAAACUAUCUGAUACCGACAAUUUCAGUGCUUGCAGAAAAUAAUCUGCUGAAAACCACUUGUCAUUUCCUUCUGCUCCUCGUUGGGUUCGACACUCUUUCUUAUUUAAAGGACUACGAUUGAUCCCCUAUACUUGUGGGUCAUCAUAGGGUCAAGUGAACGGGGUUUUAACCCCUUUUUCUUCAGGAAUUCCUUUAGAGUAUCAUACCAAGCCCGUGGGGCUUGCUUGAGGCCAUAGAGAGCCUUGUUUAGUCUGAAGACUUUGUCAGGAUGCUUUCGAUCCUCAAAACCUGGUGGUUGAGCAACAUAUACUUCUUCCUCAAGCUUACCUUUGAGGAAUGCACUUUUCACAUCCAUUUGAUAUAAGAGAAUAGUGUGAUGGUUAGCAUAUGCAAGCAAUAUACAGAUAGCUUCAAGCCUAGCAACAGAUGCAAAUGUUUGAACGAAAGCAAUACCCUCAACCUGUGUGUAGCCUUGUGAUACAAGACGGGCCUUAUUCCUCACCACUUGGCCAUUUUCGUCUUCCUUAUUGCGGUAGAUCCACUUAGUGCCGAUGAUAUUGUGCUUACAUGGACCAAGACGAUUCACAAGCUACCACACAUUGUUGAGCUCGAAUUGUUGCAAUUCUUCCUGCAUAGCUUGAAUCCACUUAGGCUCCAGAAAUGCUUCAUCAACUUUGGUGGGCUACAAAAGUUAGCUAGAUGUGAAGCCCUUGAGCGAGUGAGAGGAUUGAUACGUCUCCAAUGUAUCUAUAUUUUUUGAUUAUUCCAUGCUAUUAUAUUAUCUGUUUUGGAUGUUUUAUGUGCAUUAAUAUGCCAUUUUAUAUUAUUUUGGGGACUAACCUAUUAACCUAGAGCCCAGUGCCAGUUUCUGUUUUUCCUUGUUUUUGAGUUCUGCAGAAAAGGAAUAUCAAACAAAGUCCAAACGAGCUGAAAAUUUACGGUGAUUUUUUAUGGACCAGAAGAAGCCCACGGAGCAUCGGAGAUGGACCACAAGAGUCCCGAGGCAACCACAAGGGUGGAGGGCCCCCCUCCCCAGGGUGCCCCCUAGGGCGUGCCCCUGGCUUGUGGGUCCCUCGGGAACCCCCUUGACAUGAGCCCAAUGCCAAAAAUUCCUAUAAAUACACAAACUUCAGAAAGAAACAUAGAUUGGGAGUUCCGCCACUACAAGCCUCUGUAGCCGCAAAAAACCAAUCGGGAGCCUGUUCCGGCACCCUGUCGGAGGGGGAAACCAUGCUGAGGGUAUGUACCCGUAGCUAUGUGUUUGAUCUCUCUCUCUCUCUCAUGUUCUUAAUUUGGCAUGAUCUUGAUGUACCAUGAGCUUUGUUACUAUAGUUGAAUCAUGGUGUUUCUCCCCCUCUACCUUCUUGUGAUGAAUUGAGUUUUACCUCUGAGGUUUCACUAUUAUCGGAUUGAAUACUAUUAUGGAUUUGAGAACACUGGAUGUAUGCCUUGCAUGGGAUACCCGUGGUAACAAUGGGGUGUUAUAUUGAUUCACUUGAUGUAUGUUUUGGCACUCAACUCGCGGAUUCCUGAGGUGACAUUGGGGUAAUCUAUGCAUAGGGGUUGAUGCAUGUUUCCAUCCUUGUUUCUCCAGUAGGAAUCUUGGGGCACUCUUUGAGGUUCUUUGUGUUGAAUUGAAUAUUAUGAAUUUGAAGUUGUUUGAUGCAUAUCGUACAAUUGACCCACGAAUAUUUGUGGUGACAUUGGAGUAUCUAUGUGACAUUAGGGUUGAUUGAUGUGUGUGAUAUGGUGUUAUUUUUCUACGAACUCUAGGGCUGUUUGUGACACUUAUAGGAAUAGCUCAAUGGAUUGAUCAGAAAGAAUAACUUUGAGGUGGUUUCGUACCCUACAAGCAAUUUCAUCUCAUGUUCUCCGCGAUAGGAACUUUGGAGUGACUCUUUGUCGCACGUUGAGGGAUUGACAUAUGAUUUAAUUAUUUUAUCAUUCUUGAGAGAACUUGCACUGGUGAAAGUAUGAACCCCAGGCCUUGUUUCCAAGCAUUGCAAUAUCGUUUUCGCUCACUUUUACUACUUGCUAACUUGCUGUUUUUGAUAUUUUCAGAUUACAAAAACAUAUAUCUACCAUCCAUAUUACACAUGUAUCACCAUAUCUUUACUGAACUAGUUCACCUAUACAAUUUACCAUUGUAUUGGGUGUGUUGGGGACAUAAGAGAUUCUGUUAUUUGGCUGUAGGGUUGUUUGAGAGAGACUAUCUUCAUCCUACGCCUCCCACGGAUUGAUAAACCUUAGGUCAUCCACUUGAGGGAAAUUUGCUACUGUCCUACAAAACUCUAUGCUUGGAGGCGCAGCACGAGUUUACAAGAAGAAGGUUGCGUAGUAGGCAUCAAGCUCUUUUCUGGCGCCUUUGCCGGGGAGGUGAGUGCUUGAAGGUAUAUCUUUAGAUCUAUCAAUUGAAUCUUUGAGUUUCUUGUUUUAUCACUAGUUUAGUCUAUAAAAGAAAACUACAAAAAAAUGGAAUUGAGGUUGCCUCAUAUGAUUCAUCUUUUUAAUGUCUUUCGUGAAAUGAUGGAAAGGAAAAUUGUGCUCAAGUGUUAGAAGAAGAAAUCAAUAAAAUGUUUGGCUCAAAAUUUUGAAUGAUAAACAUGAUUGCAAUGAUUUUAGUGUGCUUGCUAUGAAUAUGAAUGACACUAAUGAUUAUUGCACUAGUGAUGAUAAAGAAGUUUCUUAUAAGCAUGUCAAUUUUCAUGGAGUGAAUAGAGUUUGUGGUGACAUGCCUUAUAGGGAUGAUAGAUCUUGUAAUUAGCGCAAACAUGAUGAAACCAAUCGAUGGCUUAAGGUGAUAGAUAAAUUUGCUACAAAAUUAUGCUCUCUUCAUCCCAUUACUUGUGAACUUUGCAGUAGAGUUGGUCAUGUUAAUUUUCAAUGCAUACUUUUUCAUGAUCGAAUCAUUACCAAAUAUUGCAAUAACUUGAUCACCCUGGAACUUUAUAAUGAGCUUUGUUUAUUUUUGGGGUGUGAAUAAUUGUCACAUAAAAAUAGUUGGUUUAAAUCAUUCAUAUUCACCGACAAUGCUGAAACUACUCUUAAAUAAAUCUAUAUGUUUUGUGUGGUAAAUUGCAUUGAGAAUGCUUAUAUUGCCAACUAUAGGAAGAUGGGAAAACCAUUAGAAUAUAAAAGAAACACUAAUGAAAAGGUAAAGCUCUCAACUUUCCCUCCUAUUGUCUCUCGUGAUGAAACAAGUUAUGAGAAUGAGCUUCCUAUGCAACCAAUCUCAUCAAUAAGGAGCUCCAAAAAUGAUGCAGAGCAUCCUACGGUCAACCCCAUGGACCUACCAUCGCCUCAACAAGAGCCAAGAGGACCCAUGACACGAGCUAGAGCUAGAAGCUCUCGAGAACGAGGUGACUUCCUUCCUUAGUGAUAUUACAUAUGAUCCUCUCGAGACAUGGCUACUACCUAAAUCCGAGACGUUGUGCAUGAUUAGGUACCAAGAGGACCCUCCCCGAAGAUGCACAUGAAGAUGUACAAGUCCCCAAGUUCACGAAUGAAGGGGAACGCCGAGAGGAGAAGAAGGAAGCUCCGGGACCCGGACAUCCGGCCCCAAGCCCGGACAUCCAGCCGCUGGAGACUUCGACCACAACAGCCUACCAACCGCCGCACAUCUACAAGCCCCGGACAUCCGGCCCGGCCCGGAAAUCCGGCCUCGAGCCCAGAUAUCCGGACACCACCUUCCCGAAAGCGACAUGGCCAGCUUCACCAGCCCGGACAUCCGGCCUCCACAGCCCGGACAUCCGGCCCUCUGCGAGCGCCCGGACGUCCGGCCUCCCCUGUCUGCACACAGUGUAAGGGCUGAGGACCGUGUACCCCUUCGCCCCCCCUAGACUAUAUAUACUCUUCUCCUACCUACGUUUUAGGGUUAGCAUUGGUUUAGCUCAUAUUUAGAGAUAGAGCAUUGCUCAUCCACAUCGGAUCUACUCCACGAGAGAGAUCGCGGCCCCUCUUCGGAGAAGAUCCCUUUGGAUUCAAGACCUCCUUGUGGGGAAGAACAUCAAGACCUCCUCACGAAGAAGACUGGCUACCUCUGUAUCGUCCUUAGUUGUCUGUGGAUCGUGUGUUCUCUUAUUGAUAGUGAUAGAGGCAAAGGUGUCCCGUCUUUCGAUGAGAUGAUGGAUAUCGGUUUGGUGGAAGUCGACUUUGACGAUCCGACUACGAACGUGCGAGGACGUCGCGCCUUAGCAAUCGCUAAACCAACUCCGAGAGGUUAUUGACCACGCCGGAGCACGAUCAACCUGACCACGAGGGUCUGUUUCCUGCGAGCAAACGAAGAACAAGCAAGAAACUAAGAUUGCAAUCUGGAUAUUGCGAAUAUAAGAUGAAAGCUUUAUUGAUCAAGGUGGGGUUCUGUGACGCCUUUGUCUGGUCGUUGAACACAAACGAAGUACGCGAAGUUGCAGCUAUGGCGAACUUUUAAUCUAAACAAAACCCCCAAAGUCUAAACGAUGCCCUAAGGGCUGUAUAUAUGGAGGAAGAGGGGGGAAUUUCGUGGCCCUUGGUGGAGGGGUCCGAAAUCAACCCUAUCUCUUGUUUCCCCACACAUACGGACUCUAAAAAUAGCCUAUACUUAUGUAUUUCGAAAUUACAUGGGCCUGACCCAAUAAUAAGGUGACGCAGCACCUAAAAUAGCCUCGGGACGAAAUUUAUGAAGUGGCAUCUUGUAUAUUUCGUCCAAGGCUUCAUGCACCCAUUAUGGUGGCUUCAAAGUCCUGAAAUCAUCACUUGUAACUCCGUUCUUGUUUCCCUUGCGCAUGCCAUCAUCUCCAUGCUUGUUCUUGCUCCAAUGUUCAUCCUUCUCCAAGCUAGGCCCUUCAUUUGUAAGCAAAACAAAUGUAUCCAGUUUAGGCAGCAUCAUAUUCUCAUGAACAUUAGAAUCAUUACCAAGAAACGAAAGUACCUGGUAAUUUAGUUGGCGUGCACGAGCUCUAGUAAUUGGUCCAGUAUGUAUAGCAGCAGGGGCUGUGGGUGUAACAAUUGUAUUGAUGUCCUCAUCAUAAUCCCAGUGGCACGUCUUGUGGAAAGACGUCAGCGAACUCCUGCAAAAUGUUAGUGAUAGCAGGAGGCAAAGAGGAAGGCACGUCCUCGAAUGAAAAUAAUGCCUCUUUGCACACAAAAGCAUAGCAAACAGAUUUGCUGAAAUCUAGCUCAUCAAUAUCAGAUUUGGUGGCAAUUAAACAUGCACUUUUCAAUUUAAUUUCAGAAGCAACACUAGAUGGUUUAUUAUUAGGCUUCAUUUGUUGCUCAAAUUCUUUUGCCACAAUCUGAUUUUCACUCUUAUUCUUCUCUUGUUUUGCUUUAUUAGCUCUAUGAAUAUCAUCUUUCAAAAUAGAAUCAGGAGUCAUAGGAAGCAAAGUAAUAUUUUUAUCCUUAUGAACAAGAGUAUACUGAUUGUUUCUACCAUGGUGUACAAAAUUUUUAUCAAAUUGCCAUGGUCUACCAAGUAAUAAGGAACAUGCUUGCAUAGGUACCACAUCACAAUCAACAUAAUCAGCAUAUGUAGAUAUACUAAAAUGCACACGAACAGUACGUGUUACCUUAACCUUGCCGCUGUUGUUGAACCAUUGGAUGUAGUAAGGAUGUGGAUGUGGUCUUGUGGUGAGAGAAAGCUUCUCCACCAUCUCCAUGCUAGCCAAGUUGUUGCAGCUACCUCCGUCUAUGAUGACGCGCACAGAACGUUCCUUCACAACUCCCUUGGUAUGGAACAAAUUGUGCCUCUGAUUUUGCUCAGCUUGUGUGACCUGCACACUCAAAACACGUUGAGCAACUAAACAUUCAUACUUGUCAGCGUAUUCAGGAGCCAUUGCGUCUCAUGAUCAGAAUCAUCUCCACCAUGUUCUUCACGUGUAAUAAGAGCCAAAGUCUCCUCAUCAUAGUCACUAGUGGACUCAUAUCCACCAUCCGCGGUAGCAAUCAUCACACACGGAGAUUUGCAUUCUCUCGCAUAAUGACCUCCUCCCUUACAACGACGACAAAUAAUAUCACUUGUGUGCCUUGUUGAUGCCAUGGAAGAAGAAGAACUCCGUGCAGGCCCAGCAGGUGCGCUCUUGGCAGAUAAUGGUGGUUGUGCCUGUUUUCUUGUAUCACGACUGGAGGAGGCACCUAAUUGAGGUGCUGGUGCAGUUGAAGUAGAAGAUGCACGCGGUGUCCAUGAUGAAGGUCGGCCUGCAUAAAAGUUAGUUCGCGCCAAUGCUUGUCGUUCCUGCACUUCACGUUCAGCUUUACAAGCAAGAUGGAAUAAACGAGUGAUAUUAGUAUACUCCUUAUAGUCUAGAAUGGUCUGAAUCUCUCUAUUUAAUCCACCCAGAAAACGUGCAAGCAUAGCUUCAUUCUCCUCAACAAUACCACAUCUAAUCAUGCCAGUUUGUAAUUCCUGAUAAUAUUCUUCUACAGAAUUUUUCCCUUGUCUUAAACGCUGCAAUUUUUGAAGCAAUUCACGUUGAUAAUAUGGUGGAACCGAACGCGUACGCAUAGCAGUUUUCAAAGCAGCCCAAGUAGUUGGAAUAGGAUAUAAUCUACAAUGUUCAGACCACCAUACACAUGCAAAACUAGUGAAAGCACAAACAGCAGCAGCAACUCGUCUCUCCUCAGGAUAUUGUAAACAUGUAAAUCGUUGUUCAGUUUCUAACUCCCAAGUAAGAUAUAUAUCAGGAACAUAUCUACCCUCAAAUGGUGGAAUAUUCAAUUUCAGUUUAGGAAUAUGGACAUCAUCUCGUACCUGAGGUGGUGGUGCAGGCCUACCAUUACGAAUAUAUACCUGAGGUCGACCUGCUGGUGGUGGUGCUGGUGGCUACUCGUAGAUCUGAUUUUGAUCAACCUCAUCCUCAUAAUCGCCCGCAUACUCAUCAUCCUCCUGGGUACCAGCAGGAGCAGUAGCAGGAGCCAAAGAAGCACCAACAGCAGUAACAACGGCACCAGAAUUUUGUCCUGGCACAAUAGGAACACGCUGUGCUCGUCCAUACUGAUUCGGAAGGGGGCGUAGUUGUUGUUGUUGCAGAGGUGCGACAGGUGCAGCCGGUGGUGGAAGACGCGCAAGCAGUUCAUUAAAUCUGUUAUCGAGCUUUGUUUCGAACGUCUUCUCAAGGCCAGUGAUCUUCUCCAUGGCCUCUUCAAAAUUGUUCAGCACAUCUUGUACCUGUUCAGUCAUCAUUUGCUGAAACUUAUCAUGAAGCUCCUUGUUCGAUAAGUUCUCCCAGUCAAUCUCGUCGGCUUGUGAUCCUGGCAUGGUUAGCAGCAAUAGAAACACACAAGAAUAUGAUCCUACAGACUACUAAGAAGUGGUGGUGGUGUAUCACAAAUCCGUCAAGCAAAUCUCAAAUUCUUACCAGUUCUUACCCAGCAGCAGGCGGUGAUCGGCAACCCUUGUAGUCAAAAACUCUCAAAGCUUGGAUAGAGCGAUUACCAGGGAGAGUCAAACACACGACGUAGAUGUAUGUGGAGCUGGGAAGGCUUAUAGUAUGGUAGCAAAAAGGGUCAGCAAUAAUCAAUUCAGAGAUGCAAAGUUGAAUAAACGCUCAACGACGGUACUGUGCUGGUCCUAGGCUAGACUGUGCUAGAGACGCGAGCCUAGAACACCAACAAAAUCACGGCGCGGCACGUAAACAAGGGAAAAGCACACUCUGAAUUUUUUUUUCGCUCUUUUUUUUUGCGCUCUCUUUUUUUUUGCGCUGCUUUUUUUUUGCGAAAAAUCACUAUAAUGGCGAGUGUCUCAAAACUCUUCUUAGCUCAAACUGACAGGAUGGGCACGAAAUUUUUUUCGACCAAUUUUUUUUUUUGACUGCCCGGACCCAAAAACUGGAAACGGGUCAAAAAAAACUUCCUAUAAUGGCACCUGUCUCAAAACACUCAGAAACACCUAAACAUAGGAUAGCCAGAAAAUUUUUCGAAAAAUGCGUUUUCGAAAAAUUUUGGGCCUAAACGGAGCGUGGCUACCCGACUCUUUUUUUUUCCGAAACCUACGCCGGCAAGGAAACACGAAUCGGAAACUAGAUGGAUCUCGAAAACAACCCUAAUAAUCAAGGAACUCGGAUUGGUGGUGGAUAUAUGGUGGUGGUAUAUGGCAGCGGUGGUGGUAGUAUAUGGAUAUGGAUCGGUGGUGGUAUAUGGACACGGAUUGGUGGUGGUAUAUGGAUACGGAUUCGGAGCGGUGGUGGUAGAUGGCAGGGGCGAUGAUGAUGGUGCGGCGGCAGCGUGACAACUUAUGACCAGAACUCGAAACUCUAAAAGACUAGACUCUAAGACCAGCAACUAGACAUGACGAUGCAACCGCAAAUUCAACAAAGCAAAACCCGAAAAAGACUAUGCAAAGGCUCAGAUUGGUUCGGAUAUGAUGAACUAACCCUAAAUUUUUUUUGUGGCUUUUUCGGGGACUGUAGGUAUGAAGAACAGACUCGAUCUAAACUACGAAAAACUGUAAAAUCUCACCGAGCAACCUGGAAAUCUGAUACCACUUGAUAGAGGCAAAGGUGUCCCGUCUUUCGAUGAGAUGAUGGAUAUCGGUUUGGUGGAAGUCGACUUUGACGAUCCGACUACGAACGUGCGAGGACGUCGCGCCUUAGCAAUCGCUAAACCAACUCCGAGAGGUUAUUGACCACGCCGGGGCACGAUCAACCUGACCACGAGGAUCUGUUUCCUGCGAGCAAACGAAGAACAAGCAAGAAACUAAGAUUGCAAUCUGGAUAUUGCGAAUAUAAGAUGAAAGCUUUAUUGAUCAAGGUGGGGUUCUGUGACGCCUUUGUCUGGUCGUUGAACACAAACGAAGUACGCGAAGUUGCAGCUAUGGCGAACUUUUAAUCUAAACAAAACCCCCAAAGUCUAAACGAUGCCCUAAGGGCUGUAUAUAUGGAGGAAGAGGGGGGAAUUUCGUGGCCCUUGGUGGAGGGGUCCGAAAUCAACCCUAUCUCUUGUUUCCCCACACAUACGGACUCUAAAAAUAGCCUAUACUUAUGUAUUUCGAAAUUACAUGGGCCUGACCCAAUAAUAAGGUGACGCAGCACCUAAAAUAGCCUCGGAACGAAAUUUAUGAAGUGGCAUCUUGUAUAUUUCGUCCAAGGCUUCAUGCACCCAUUAUGGUGGCUUCAAAGUCCUGAAAUCAUCACUUGUAACUCCAUUCUUGUUCUUGCUCCAAUGUUCAUCCUUCUCCAAGCUAGGCCCUUCAUUUGUAAGCAAAACAAAUGUAUCCAAUUUAGGCAGCAUCAUAUUCUCAUGAACAUUAGAAUCAUUACCAAGAAACGAAAGUACCUGGUAAUUUAGUUGGCGUGCACGAGCUCUAGUAAUUGGUCCAGUAUGUAUAGCAGCAGGGGCUGUGGGUGUAACAAUUGUAUUGAUGUCCUCAUCAGAUAGAGGCAAAGAUGUCCCGUCUUUCGAUGAGAUGAUGGAUAUCGCUUUGGUGGAAGUCGACUUUGACGAUCCGACUACGAACGUGCGAGGACGUCGUGCCUUAGCAAUCGCUAAACCAACUCCGAGAGGUUAUUGACCACGCCGGAGCACGAUCAACCUGACCACGAGGGUCUGUUUCCUGCGAGCAAACGAAGAACAAGCAAGAAACUAAGAUUUCAAUCUGGAUAUUGCGAAUAUAAGAUGAAAGCUUUAUUGAUCAAGGUGGGGUUCUGUGACGCCUUUGUCUGGUCGUUGAACACAAACGAAGUACGCGAAGUUGCAGCUAUGGCGAACUUUUAAUCUAAACAAAACGCAAAGUCUAAACAGUGCCCUAAGGGCUGUAUAUAUGGAGGAAGAGAGGGGGAAUUUCGUGGCCCUUGGUGGAGGGGUCCGAAAUCAACCCUAUCUCUUGUUUCCCCACACAUACGGACUCUAAAAAUAGCCUAUACUUAUGUAUUUUGAAAUUACAUGGGCCUGGCCCAAUAAAAAGGUGACGCAGCACCUAUAAUAGCCUCUGGACGAAAUUUAUGAAGUGACAUCUUGUAUAUUUCGUCCAAGGCUUCAUGCACUCAUUAUGGAGGCUUCAAAGACCUGAAAUCAUCACUUGUAACUCUGUUCUUGUUCCCCUUGCGCAUGCCAUCAUCUCCAUGCUUGUUCUUGCUCCAAUGUUCAUCCUUCUCCAAGCUAGGCCCUUCAUUUGUAAGCAAAACAAAUGUAUCCAAUUUAGGUAGCAUCAUAUUCUUAUGAACAUUAGAAUCAUUACCAAGAAACGAAAGUACCUGGUAAUUUAGUUGGCGUGCGCGAGCUCUAGUAAUUGGUCCAGUAUGUAUAGCAGCAGGGGCUGUGGGUGUAACAAUGGUAUUGAUGUCCUCAUCAUCCUCACCUUCUUGAAAUGAAGUCGUCCUCGACGGAAGCUCAUCUUCCUCACCCAAAUAAGGCUUCAAAUCUGCAAUGUUAAAAGUGGGACUAACCCCAAAAUCUGCAGGCAGCUCAAGUUUAUAUGCAUUAUCAUUUAUUUUCUCUAACACCUUAAAGGGACCAUCAGCCCGUGGCAUGAGCUUUGAUUUGCGCAAAUCAGGAAAUCUAUCCUUACGCAAAUGUAACCGAACAAGAUCUCCAGGUGCAAACACAACAUGUUUUCUACCCUUAUCUCCAGUAAGUUUAUAUUUGGCAUUCAUAUGCUCAAUGUUUUCCUUAGUUAACUCAUGCAUUUUUAAAAUCAAUUCAGCACGUUGUUUAGCAUCAAAAUUAACCUUCUCCGAAGAUGGAAGAGGCAACAAAUCAAUAGGUGCACGAGGUAGGAAACCAUACACAACUUCAAAAGGGCACAUCUUAGUAGUAGAAUGCAAUGAACGAUUAUAAGCAAAUUCAAUAUGAGGCAAGCAUUCCUCCCACAUUUUCUUAUUACUCUUCAAAACAGCCCUAAGCAUAGUAGACAAUGUUCUAUUGACUACUUCAGUUUGGCCAUCAGUUUGGGGGUGACAAGUAGUACUAAAAAGCAGUUUAGUCCCCAACUUAGCCCAUAAACAUCUCCAAAAGUGGCUAAGAAAUUUAGUAUCACGAUCUGAAACAAUAGUAUUUGGGACACCAUGCAAGCGAAUAAUUUCACGAAAGAACAAAUCAGCAACAUUAACAGCAUCAUCGCUUUUAUGACAUGGUAUAAAGUGUGCCAUUUUCGAGAAUCUAUCCACGACAACAAAUAUGCUAUCCCUCCCCUUCUUUGUUCGAGGUAAACCUAAAACAAAGUCCAUAGAUAUAUCCUCCCAAGGAACACUAGGUACAGGCAAAGGCAUAUAUAAACCAUGAGGAUUGAGUCGUGACUUAGCUUUUUGACAUGUAGUGCAGCGAGCAAUAAAACGCUCAACAUCCCGUCCAAUCUUUGGCCAAAAGAAAUGUGUAGCAAGUACGUCCUCCGUCUUCUUCACGCCAAAGUGUCCCAUUAAUCCUCCUCCAUGCGCCUCCUGCAACAACAAAAGACAAACGGAGCUAGCUGGAAUGCAUAGCUUGUUAGCACGAAACACAAAUCCAUCGUUAACGACAAACUUGUUCCACAUUCUUCCUUCUUUACAAUUCUGCAUUACAUCUUUAAAAUCAGCAUCAUGCACAUAUUGAUCUUUGAUGGUCUCCAAACCAAAUAUUUUGAAGUCAAGUUGUGAAAGCAUAGUAUAGCGACGAGACAAUGCAUCAGCAAUAACAUUUUCUUUUCCCUUCUUGUGUUUAAUGACAUAAGGGAAAGUCUCAAUGAAUUCAACCCAUUUAGCAUGUCUACGAUUCAGUUUAGCUUGACUUUUAAUAUGUUUCAAAGAUUCAUGAUCAAAAUGUAUAACAAAUUCUUUGGGCCAUAAAUAAUGUUGCCAUGUUUCUAAAGUCCGAACAAGAGCAUAUAAUUCUUUAUCAUAAGUAGAAUAAUUCAGACUAGGCCCACUCAAUUUUUCAGAAAAGUAUGCAACAGGUUUGCCAUCUUGUAAUAACACACCUCCUAAUCCAAUUCCACUAGCAUCACAUUCAAGCUCAAAAGUCUUAUUAAAAUCAGGAAGUUGGAGUAAAGGAGCAUGUGUCAACUUAUCUUUCAAUACCGAGAAGGUUUCUUCCUGUGCGGUACCCCAAAGAAAAGGCACAUCUUUCUUUGUAAGCUCAUUGAGAGGUGCAGCAAUGGUGCUGAAAUCUCUCACAAAACGCCUAUAGAAUCCAGCGAGGCCAAGAAAACUCCUCACUUGUGUGACCGUUUUGGGCUGCGGCCAACUCUCAAUAGCUUCAGUCUUGGCUUUAUCAACUUCAAUUCCCUGUGGAGUAACAACAUAGCCAAGAAAAGAUACUCGGUCGGUGCAAAAGGUGCACUUCCCAAGGUUACCAAACAAACGUGCAUCACGUAGAGCAAUAAAAACAGCACGUAAAUGUUCCAAAUGUUCUUCCAAAGAUCUGCUAUAAAUCAGUAUAUCAUCAAAAUAGACUACCACAAAUCGUCCAAUGAAAGCACGUAAAACUUCGUUCAUUAGUCUCAUGAAAGUACCAGGCGCAUUAGUUAACCCAAAAGGCAUGACUAACCACUCAUAUAAUCCAAACUUAGUUUUAAAUGCUAUUUUCCAUUCAUCCCCCAAUUUCAUACGAAUUUGAUGGUAUCCACUACGCAAAUCAACUUUGGAGAAUAUUGUAGAGCCACUCAAUUCAUCAAGCAUAUCAUCUAGCCUAGGAAUAGGAUGAAGAUAACGAAUAGUAAUAUUAUUAAUGCCUCUACAAUCAACACACAUACGCGAUGUACCAUCCUUUUUCGACACUAGAAUAAUAGGAACAGCACAAGGACUAAGGGAUUCGCGUAUAUAACCUUUGUCGAGAAGCUCUUGUACUUGACGCAUAAUCUCCUUCGUCUCCUCUGGAUUGGUACGGUAUGGCGCACGGUUUGGCAGUGAACCACCGGGAAUUAAGUCGAUCUGAUGCUCAAUCCCUCGAAUAGGUGGUAAUCCCGGUGGCACAUCUUGUGGAAAGACGUCAGCGAACUCCUGCAAAAUGUUAGUGAUAGCAGGAGGCAAAGAGGAAGGCACGUCCUCGAAUGAAAAUAAUGCCUCUUUGCACACAAAAGCAUAGCAAACAGAUUUGCUGAAAACUAGCUCAUCAAUAUCAGAUUUGGUGGCAAAUAAACAUGCACUUUUUAAUUUAAUUUCAGAAGCAACACUAUAUGGUUUAUUAUUAGGCUUCAUUUGUUGCUCAAAUUCUUUUGCCACAAUCUGAUUUUCACUCUUAUUCUUCUCUUGUUUUGCUUUAUUAGCUCUAUUAAUAUCAUCUUUCAAAAUAGAAUCAGGAGUCAUAGGAAGCAAAGUAAUAUUUUUAUCCUUAUGAACAAGAGUAUACUGAUUGUUUCUACCAUGGUGUACAGAAUUUUUAUCAAAUUGCCAUGGUCUACCAAGUAAUAAGGAACAUGCUUGCAUAGGUACCACAUCACAAUCAACAUAAUCAGCAUAUGUAGAUAUACUAAAAUGCACACGAACAGUACGUGUUACCUUAACCUUGCCGCUGUUGUUGAACCAUUGGAUGUAGUAAGGUUGUGGAUGUGGUCUUGUGGUGAGAGAAAGCUUCUCCACCAUCUCCAUGCUAGCCAAGUUGUUGCAGCUCCCUCCAUCUAUGAUGACGCGCACAGAACGUUCUUUCACAACUCCCUUGGUAUGGAACAAAUUGUGCCUCUGAUUUUGCUCAGCUUGUGUGACCUGCACACUCAAAACACGUUGAGCAACUAAACAUUCAUACCUGUCAGCGUCUUCAGGAGCCAUGUAUUGCGUCUCAUGAUCAGAAUCAUCUCCACCAUGUUCUUCACGUGUAAUAAGAGCCAAAGUCUCCUCAUCAUAGUCACUAGCGGACUCAUAUCCACCAUCCGCGGUAGCAAUCAUCACACGCGGAGAUUUGCAUUCUCUCGCAUAAUGACCUCCUCCCUUACAACGACGACAAAUAAUAUCACUUGUGUCCCCUGUUGAUGCCAUGGAAGAAGAAGAACUUUGUGCAGGCCCAGCAGGUGCGCUCUUGGCAGAUAAUGGUGGUUGUGCCUGUUUUCUUGUAGCACGACUGGAGGAGGCACGUGAUUGAGGUGCUGGUGCAGUUGAAGUAGAAGAUGCACGCGGUGUCCAUGAUGAAGGUCGGCCUGCAGAAAAGUUAGUUCGCGCCAAUGCUUGUCGAUCCUGCACUUCACGUUCAGCUUUACAAGCAAGAUGGAAUAGACGAGUGAUAUUAGUAUACUCCUUAUAGUCUAGAAUGGUCUGAAUCUCUCUAUUUAAUCCACCCAGAAAACGUGCAAGCAUAGCUUCAUUCUCCUCAACAAUACCACAUCUAAUCAUGCCAGUUUGUAAUUCCUGAUAAUAUUCUUCUACAGAAUUUUUUCCUUGUCUUAAGCGCUGUAAUUUUUGAAGCAAUUCACGUUGAUAAUAUGGUGGAACCCAACGAGUACGCAUAGCAGUUUUCAAAGCAGCCCAAGUAGUUGGAAUAGGAUAUAAUCUACAAUGUUCAGACCACCAUACACAUGCAAAACUAGUGAAAGCACAAACAGCAGCAGCAACUCGUCUCUCCUCAGGAUAUUGUAAACAUGUAAAUCGUUGUUCAGUUUCUAACUCCCAAGUAAGAUAUAUAUCAGGAACAUAUCUACCCUCAAAUGGUGGAAUAUUCAAUUUCAGUUUAGGAAUAUGGACAUCAUCUCGUACCUGAGGUGGUGGUGCAGGCGUACCAUUACGAAUAUAUACCUGAGGUCGACCUGCUGGUGGUGGUGCAGGUGGCUGCACGUAGUGCUGAUUUUGAUCAACCUCAUCCUCAUAAUCUCCCACAUAAUCAUCCUCCUCCGCAUCAGCAGCAGGAGCCACAGAAGUAUCAACAGUAGCACCAACAGUUUGGCCAAACACAAGAGGAACACGGCUCGCUCGGCGAAGGUCCGUUUCGCGAUGUGGAGGUAGUCGUUGUUGUUGUUGUUG
Molecule: long non-coding RNA, 55914 nt
Filed under: Triticum aestivum (bread wheat)
Lineage: Eukaryota; Viridiplantae; Streptophyta; Magnoliopsida; Poales; Poaceae
Description: long non-coding RNA (TAES_LNC025615)
Source: RNAcentral